AUUCCUAUGCUAAGUACAUAUGAUGAUUACAAUUUUUAUUAAUUUUAAAUCAUGCAGUAUGUACAUAUAUAUCUUAAUUAGAGUUUUUACCAAUAUAAUAAUAUCAUUCAUAUAUAUGCUAAGUAUAUAUGAUUAUUGGAAUUUUUAUUAAUUAUAUUUGCUUAUUACGAUUUAUCCACUUAAUUUAUUACAGACAAAAAUAAUUUUUCGAAGUAAUUGUCAUUAAUCUUUGUACUUUAAAUAAUGUUAAUGAAUUAACUUCUAUUUUAUAAACACAUAUGUAAGCGAAAAUCAUAUGCAGUGCUAUAAUCUUUAGUCCCGGUUCUUAACCCUAACCGGGUUUAAAAAGAAUUUCGAAAUAGCGGGAAAAGAUAUUUACUCCCGGUUGUUGAGAACAACCGGGAGUAAAGAUCCAGGGGUAUAUAUAUUCCCGGUGCGCCCUCGUCUUCUUCACCAACACUUAAACGUUUUCGGCCGAUCGAUCUCUCUCGGCCUCUCUCCUUCGCCGCCACUGCCUAGGGCAAAUCCCCGCGCCGACGCCGCCGUAUCUCGCCGUCGUCUCGAGCUCGUCGUCCUCGCCGCCGCCUCCGCCUCCUCCGCUGCCGCCGCAUCUCUGGGGUGAGAGCCGCCGCCGCCAGAUCUCCCUUCAUGCAUCUCGAUCUCUCCGAUCUCGAUCUCUCUCCGUCGCGCCGCCCGCCACGAGACGCCGCGCCACGACGACGACGCGCCACGACGACGACGCGCCACGCCGCCGCCUUCGACGCCACGCAACGCCGCCGCCGCAUGCCAACGCCACGCCGCCGCCGCUGCCGCCGUCGCCACGCCGCCGCCGCCUUCGCCGCCGCGCGCGCAAUGCCGCCGCCGCCACGCCACGCCGCCGCCGCCACGCCACGCCGCCGCCGCCACGCCACGCCGCCGCCGCCACGCCACGCCGCCGCCACGCAACGCCACGCCGCCGCCGCCGUCGCCACACCGCCGCGCCAAUCGCCGCCCCGAUGCCGCCACACCGCCGUUAACGAACGAGAACGAGAACGAUCGAACGAACGAGAGCGAGAACGAACACGUCAACGUACGUUGCCGCGACAACGUGAACAAGAACGAGAACGAUCGAACGAACGAGAGCAAGAACGAACACGUCAACGUACGUUGCCGCGAGAACGUGAACGAGAACGAGAACGAUCGAACGAAUAAGAGCGAGAACGAGAACGAUCGAACGAAGACAAGCGAGAACGAGGGAAUGAACGUGAAUGAGAACGAGCGAACGAACGAGGACGAACGUUAACGUGAAAUGCAAUAUAUAUAUAUAUAUAUAUAUAUAUAUAUAUAUAUAUAUAUAUAUAUAUAUAUAUAUAUAUGUGUGUGUUACUUCGCAUUUAUCCUAAUACAUUUUUUUUAUCUUGCAGAAAAGACGUGUUGUCGGAGUCGUCCGUCAAGCCUGAGUGGAAGAGCUAGCCCUAGAAGGAAUUGGAGCAGGCAAGUGACGUAAUAAUAUAAAUGAUUGUUAUAUUUGUAAUGCAAUUAAUUAAGAUUAUUAGACCUGUAAUUAGACUUAUCAUAUAAGAUUGUGUAGUGUUCUAAUAUUAUUUGAGUUUUAAUAUAAGAUUAUUUUAUUGCAAAUUAGACUUAGUAUGACAUUAUUGACUACGGAAUUGGUGCGACUCCUAGCAAUUGACUAUUGUAGUCUUAAUUAGACUUAGCAUAUACGCACGAAACACUUAGCAUACAUUACUAUUUUAGUCUUAGCAUGUAAUAUUAUUUGAGUUUUAAUAUAAUAUUAUUUUAUUUGUAAUUAGACUUGGUAUGUAAUUAUUGACUACAGAAUUGGUGCGACAAGUAGCAAUUGACUAUUGUAGUCUUAAUUAGACUUAGCAUAUACGCACGAAACACCUAGCAUAUACAUGACUAUUUUAGUCUUAGCAUGUAAUAUUAUUUGAGUUUUAAUAUAAGAUUAUUUUAUUUGUAAUUAGACUUAGUAUAUAAUUAUUUACUAGCUAGGGUUGUAUAAUAUACGUCACCUAGACUUAGCUUAUAUCACGAUUUGUAAUUAGACUUAGCACGUAAGGUUGUGUAGGGUUCUAAUGUACGACAUUUACACUUAGCAUACAUGACUUAGAUUGUUAAAACAUAAAUGUCUCGUGACUUAGCAUAUACGCACGAAACACUUAGCAUAUACAUGACUAUUUUAGUCUUAGCAUGUAAUAUUAUUUGAGUUUUAAUAUAAGAUUAUUUUAUUUGUAAUUAGACUUAGUAUAUAAUUAUUUACUAGCUAGGGUUGUAUAAUAUACGUCACCUAGACUUAGCUUAUAUCAUGAUUUGUAAUUAGACUUAGCACGUAAGGUUGUGUAGGGUUCUAAUGUACGACAUUUACACUUAGCAUACAUGACUUAGAUUGUUAAAACAUAAAUGUCUCGUGACUUAGCAUAUACGCACGAAACACUUAGCAUAUACAUGACUAUUUUAGUCUUAGCAUGUAAUAUUAUUUGAGUUUUAAUAUAAGAUUAUUUUAUUUGUAAUUAGACUUAGUAUAUAAUUAUUUACUAGCUAGGGUUGUAUAAUAUACGUCACCUAGACUUAGCUUAUAUCACGAUUUGUAAUUAGACUUAGCACGUAAGGUUGUGUAGGGUUCUAAUGUACGACAUUUACACUUAGCAUACAUGACUUAGAUUGUUAAAACAUAAAUGUCUCGUGACUUAGCAGAUGUUUCUUGUAUCAACAGAUGGCUGACCGCGAUGAGGAACAGAUAUUGUACGAUACAAUCGCGGAGGGAAGCAGCCAGUACUGGAAUGAAGAAGAGGGGAACGAGGAUCCAAACGAGUACUUGAACGAGGAAGGGAACGUGGAGAGGGAUGCGGAGGGGAACCAGCAGGGGCACGUGGAAAGGGAUGUGGAGGGGAACCAGGAGGAGGAGGCUAGUGGUAGUCAACCCUCCGUUGGACAGAAGAGGGCACGCGGGCAACGAGGUGUAGCGAAGAAGCUUGAGGGUCGGCACAUCAUAACGGAAGUGGAAGAAGAUGGACGUCCUAGUGCCCCAGCCGAAGCCGCCAAGAACUAUGUACGUCACAGCGGUUGGGUUGUACGGGAUAACGUGCCUGUCAGUACGGUGUACUGGCGAAGAACAAGGGCACGCGGAGAUCAUGAGAGCUUUGUCCCAGAUUCGGAGAAAGAGAUGCUGUGGACCACAAUGCUCGAGACAUUCACCCUUCCUGCGGGUACAGAGGACAAAGUGAAAAGGUGGACUCUGAAGAAAAUGGCAGAACAGUUUCAGAGCUUCAAGGGAGAUCUGUACCAGAAGUAUAUACUGAAGGGGCAGACACCGAACUUCGACACAUUCCCAAAGCUAAGGGAUCACUGGGACGAGUUCGUUGCAUAUAAGACAGGUGAACAAGGGCAGGCGAUGAUGGAAAGAAACAAAGAAAAUGCCGCCAAGAAGAAGUACCAUCACCACUUGGGGUCAAGAGGCUAUAGCGUCGCGAUGCCGAAGUGGGAGCAGAUGGAGGCUAGCUUGAUUGAGAGGGGUAUCGAACCGGCAACAGCCAAUUGGCCAGAACGAUCGAAGUUCUGGUACUAUGCUCACGGUGGAACGCUCAACCCAGCUGAUGGCUCACUGGUCUUCGGCUAUCAGAUACGAGAGGCUGCGCGACGACUAACAGAUGCAGUGGAAGCCUCCUCUCAGGGCACGUUCCGACCAGACAGAGAUAGGGACGAGCUGACACUCGCCCUGCAGACUCCAGAGCAUCCAGGACGAACUCGAGGGAAAGGGGUGAUUCCUUGGAAGAUUGGUUUCAAGGAGGACAUCCACACGUACAGGAGUCGGAUGAGGAGCAAGAGAGAUACCGAGGCGAAGAUUGCAGACCUAGAGUUCCGGGUAUCGAGCUACGAACUCAACAUGCAAGAGGAGGUGGCAAGGAAGGUUGAUGAACGCAUGGCCGCACAUCGGUCCCAUGAUCCCCAGCCGACCAUUCCUCCUGCAAUGGUGAGCCCGUCAGGAAACCGUAGCAGCUGCGCCUCAACGGGGCAGGUAGGAUCACAGAGCAUGGACGCCAUGCAAACACAGGACGAAUCGACCUGUCCCGUUGAUGACAUCACUCAGCGGACACCAUGUGAGCUGCAUAUUCCUUUCAAGAACUUAUCAAUAAAGGUAAGAUUUAGCCAUUCCGCUAGUUGCUGCUUAUAUAUGUUGAUUACUAAUAAAUAAUCUCUCACAACAUGAAGGUGGCGUCGGGCAUGGCCAUCCCAACGGACCCUUUAGGUACUUACCACUGCAGGCCGAUUCCAGCAGGAUACUCGAAGGUCGAAGUUGAGUUGGUCGAAGGCGCGUACGAGGACCUCGAGCUGGAUUACCCUGGAGGAGACGGUGAGACGCAUCUACGAGACACAUGCCAUGCCAUUAUUCUAUGGCGCAGGCGGUACAUCAUCCUCCCUGGGCGACAAGCGGCGUCUCGUGCACCAUCUCCUCCGGCUCCGCCAUCUCCUCCUCAGAAUCCUGCACCGUCUCCUCCUCAUGCUCCGCCAGCACCGUCUCCACCUCAGGUUCCAGCAUCGACUCCUCCUCAGGAUCCUGCACCGACUCCUCCUCGUGCUCCUACACCUACUCCCCCACAAGCUCCUCUUCCGGCACCUUCAAAGUCAAGGGCCCCCCCAGCUCCACCACCUGCCCACACAAGGGCAACGAAGAAGGCGAAAGUUGAUGCCGCCAAGAACAAGGACCCGGGGUACGAUUGCAUGCAAGAGGAGCUUGAUGCUUACGUUGCAUCAGAAGUCAAGAGACAAUUCAAGCCUCGAAGUCCAGAAAAGAAGAUUCCUAUAGACCCCAGUGUCAGGAACUUCUUCAGGGGUAUGUCUGCAUCUGUCAAGGAGGCCAUCAAGCUAUCGGACUAUGAGCGAACGCUGAAGAAAGCAUCUUCUGGAAAGUCCAAACCAGUCCCUCAGCUUGGAGAGCAACCAAACCAGGAGAUCGAGCCGUUGGUGACCGGUAAAGAAAUGACGAUAGAACAAUUUAUUGCUGACACCGGUCUAACUACGGAUCAAUUGCUAGGAGUCGCACCAAUCGAAAAGGCGGAAGUGAAAUACAUGUACGAACUCGGUAAACCGCUUGUCAAGCCUGAGCUGCUGCAGUCCCUACCCACACAAAUGUACAAGUUCCAUCAGCUGUACAUGGAGAUGAGCGCCACCGGUAGAGAGAUGAUCGGAGCGAGGAUCAGGGACACGGACUUCUUGCAAGGAGAUGACAUUCUCUGGAUCAAUUUCAGGGGAAUCUACGAACUAUACCAGCUGGACGCCCUCGACGUCUCUAUUAUGAGUUGCUGGAUUUUGUAAGUAUAUCGUUCAGUUAGAUUUCUUACUAUACGUCUCCUUUAAUUAAUUAGGUCCUUGUAUAUAAGUAGACCAUAGAAAAUAAUAUACUCCCUUUUAUCGUUGUAGAAUGGAGAUUCAAAGGGCCCGACGGCGGAGGGUUUUCGAUACUGGAUUCAUCGACCCUCGGAAAGUAAACGUCGCAAUGCUCGACCAAUAUCCACAAGAAACAGAGGACAAUCUCGUCCAUCUCCUGAAGGCGCAGCAUUACAAGACGUUCAUACUGUUGCCAUACAACACAGAGUUAGUUUAAUUUUACUGUCUUCCUACAUACCAAAUUUCAUUCCCGUACGAACUUGCUAAGUGUUUCAUAUGUAAUGCAUCCCACGCACAUUGCAGAUUCCACUGGGUGCUUUUACUCAUCGACCUGGAGGCCUGCACCGUCAACGUAUAUGACUCAAUGGAUAAAAAAGAGUCUACGUUUGACAAGGUUUUCGAACUUAUAGACAGGUACCGUCAUAAGUUCCUUUGUUAAUUAAGAAAAUCUUGUUAUGUUAAUUGCUACUACGAAUCAUAGCUUUAAACUCCAUGUAGGGCUUGGUAUCGGUUCCGUCAUUUGGUCCGCGGCAAAUGGAGAGAAAGACUUAGGCGGAAGUUCAAAUUUCCUGUGAAUACACAUGCUCUACAUUUAUAUUUCUCCGAUUCAAAUACAUACAAGUGUAUAUUAAUUAGAUCUCUCGUUGUUUGUCAUUUAUUUGUAGUGCGCAAAGCAAAAGCAGGGAACUAACUUGUGCGGCUAUUACGUGUGCGAGUAUUGCCACUGCCUUGCAGACCAAAUCAUCACCACAAGAGAGCUCGAUGUACGUACAAAUAAAUUCAAAAUUUCAUUACGUAGCGAUUUCUUGUUUAAUUACUAAUCAAUUUCAUACAUUCAUAUAGUUUAUUCGCAUGAGGGAUAACCUGACCACACACAAGGAAUUUAUCGCGGCGGUUCAAGAACAACUCAUGGGAUUCAUCAACGAAGAAAUCCUUGAUCCCAAGGGUGAAUUCUACUACGACGGAAACACAAUUCACCGGUCCUUAGCUUCUGAGCUAGCAGCGAGUACUACUACGUCGAAAUCGUAGCUAGCUAGGACAUAUAAUGGAUUGUAAUUAAUACAUGACUACAUAUGUUUCUAUAUGCAUGUAUACACAUUUUCUAUAAUGUAAAUAUAUUUUGUUCAUAUAUAUAUCUAUAUACAUAUGCAUUUGCAUAACAUAUAUAUGUAUAAAUACAUAUAUAUUAUGCAUGUAUAUACAUAUAAUAUAAUAUAAUAUAUAUAUAUACAUAUAUAUAUGUAUGCAUAUAUCUGUAUUGAAACAUAUAUAUGCAUGGUUUAUAUAUAUAUAUAUAUAUAUAUAUAUAUAUAUAUAUAUAUAUAUAUAUAUAUAUAUAUAUAUAUAUAUAAACCAUGCAGCAACAGGGGCAUGCAAAAAAAAAAAAGGUCAGCUACCAACCGGGACUAAAGAUCGAUCUUUACUCCCGGUUAUUUCACCUGGGACUAAAGAUAGCGAUCUUUAGUCCCGGAUUGGUACUCCCGGUUUGGAAACCGGGAAUAAAGGGGGGUUACGAACCGGGACUACAAAGGGUUUCUCCACCAGUGCUCGCAGGAGGCGAUGAGGUUGUAGUGGCAGUAGGUCAGCCCGGACGACUCCGGUGGUGGCGGCUCCGUGAAGGUGGUCAUGCAGCACAGGUCCUCGAGUAAGAAGGUGUCGCCGCCGGUGGGCACCACAGCGUUGUACGCGCAGGGCGGCCUUGGCGUUGCUGACGUGGCGCUCGUCGGUCAUCACGUCCCAUUCUAGAGAGAGGGUGUCCAGGGUUACAUAUUAAGCGUGAAGAGAAACAUAAGAUCUAAAUAAAUCGAUGAGAGCUCAUUCAAAAUGGUAGAUAUACCGCACAAUCUAGCCCAAUGUCGAAGCCUAAGCCUAUUAGCUGUUUUCGAUAAUAGAGGCUAGCCGAUGAAGCUGAGAGAACAAGACCAGUCUAGAUUAUGCGAUAUAUAUGAUAACUCGGAAGUUUGCGUGGACAGGAUUAGAGUGUCAUGACGAUGUAAGCACUAAUUCCAAGAACGCAAGCCGCCAAAACAAGCUUUACCUCUUCGUCGGAGAUCGAACCCGAUGCAGCCCAACUUGAAAGCAAAAACUCAUCGAAACAAUGAAAAUAGAAAAGGGUGGCGAUGCGACGAAGUGUAUUGAACUGUCGCCCCUUGAUUACAUGGUGUCGGGCCAUAUUUACACCCGAAGUACAUGAGAUGUCCUUGCUGGACAUGACUCUUAUCUCUAAUACAAUUUAAAAUACGAAUGAGCCCUUUAGGUGGACCCUUACCAAAAUAUCUCUAAGGAAACUAGAAAAUGUUCUAAUUAAUAUAUACAAUUGCCCUUUUUAGGACUCCUAUCCUUGUGUGGCAAUAGCUAUGAAGGGCUUCAACCAAUCCGACAAUGGUCAUGGGGCCAUUUCUCCCGAGACUGGUUGCAUCGGCUUGGCUCCAUCGGAUCCGGCACUUAGUUGAUAUAUGGCAGCCAAUACUAUUUGUAGCCGAUUCACGUAUUAGCCGAUGCUACUCGUAACCGACGUGUACUUUGCUUUCUCAAGCGGACUUUCUCCAAAUCUGCUUCGUUUCCAACUUCGAAUCCGACCCAUGGCAUUACCAAUUUUGGUCGUCAACAGUCGCCCUGCCUAGUGAUCAGCCGGAUCGACUCGUUUGGCUCUGGAGCACCUUUGGGCAAUAUUCGGCUGCCUCAGCCUACCAAAUGAUGUUCGCGGGAUGUGAGCAGUUCUCGCCAUUUAGGUCAACAAAGCGCCACAUCGGUGCAAAUACUUCGCAUGGCCGGUAGCCCAUCGCAAAUGCUGGACGGCGGAUCGACUGAGUGCGAGAGGACUCCCCCACCCAGCCCGCUGUGUCCUCUGUGACCAGCAUGACUAGUCCAUCGACCACAUCCUAGUUGCAUGUCCAGAGUCCCUUCAAUUUUGGUGGCUUAUCCUUAAUGCCAUUGGUUGCCCGGGUUGUCACCUGGUGGCUGAGACCUCAUUCAUCAAUUGGUGGCUGGUUGCUAGAGGAAGAGUUCCCCAGCCUCAGCAGCGUGGGUUCGACACGGUAAUCAUCCUGGCAGCAUGGUCUAUUUGGAAGGAAAGGAAUAUCCGGGUCUUCAACCAACAACAACGAUCCUGGAUUGAGGUUGCAAAGGCGGCGGCCAAUGAGGCUGCCCUCUGUAACGAAGCAGGGCUUCUACGGUUCUACCUGACUAGAACGUCGUUGUGUCCCCGGUCGCAAAAUGGAUGCCGCGAGAUUUAGGCCAUAGGCUUUGGUUCCAAUUUUGUUUUAUUUCAUCUUUCGGUUGGUUGGUUGGUUGUAACGUGAACUUCUCAAAAUCUUAAUACAAAAGAUACGCAACGCUUUUACGCAUUCUCGAAAAAAAAACUUAUCCUUUCUCUUUCCCAUGAUUUCGUUGAGCGUUGUCUACAUCUUGGUCCGGGAGAAAUUAUGUCUGAUGUAGUGAUGCUGUUGUUCAGUUUUUUAGCUAUUAUGUUUUUUUUUUGGGUAGGGGUUAUUGUUCCUCAUUAGUACAAAGGGAAAGAAAUGUCAUUAAUAACAUAGACUCAUCGAUGAAAAAAAAACAUAUUGCACAAAAAUGUCAUACAAUAUCAUAUUAUCGUACUUUACGUGAAAUAUAUUUGAUGUACACUAUGAAUUAAGUUAAAGCUCAAUUGCACAGAUCAUGCAAAAAUAUUUUUUUUGCUAACAUGAGAUUUUAGAAAUUAUUAAAGAUAAUAAAAUUGCACCGUAGCGUUUAGCACAAACAUAUCACUAGUUAGUAGAAAGUAGAAAGGGCAAAAAAAAAACUAUUAAUAAUAUAGACUCAUCAAUUAAAUUCCCGUUACAUGUACUACAUGUAUACCAUGCUAAUAUCAGUCAAAGUAAGGAUAGUCGUAGUCGUAUUCUAUUUCACAAUCGUCCUCUUUGUGUUCUGGCAGAAGUCUAUGUCCCGCGAUGAACUUGUUCCUAUCAGGAUGCGUAAGGUAGCUUCGUUGACGGAAACAGGCAUUGCAGUUGACGCUAUAAUCACGAGGAUUUUGGAGGAUACAGCACGCGACGACGCCGUCCUCCCCACCACAGACUUGGCCGCCGUCGUCGACCUCCACCUCCGCAAAGAACCAGGCGGCUGAUCCGGUGGCCUCGCAGGAGGCGAUGAGGUUGUAGUGGCAGUAGGUCAGCCCAGACGACUCCGGCGGCAGCGGCUCCGUGAAGGUGGUCAUGCAGCACAGGUCCUCGAGGAAGAAGGUGUCGCCGCCGGCGGGCACCGCGGCAUUGUACGCGCGCAGGGCGGCCCUGGCGUUGCUGACGUGGCGCUCGUCGGUCACCACUUGCCAUUCUAGAGAGAUGGUGUUCAGGGUUACGUAUUGUGGUUUCGCCACCGGUUCCAUGGGGGGUUUUGUGGGUUUGCGUGGUGGUGCUCCUGCUCCGGCUCCGGCUGGCGAACGCGAACCCAUGGAAUUCCGUCCCUUCCCUUCCGUUUCUCCGAUCCUCGUGUGGGCGAUGAAUGUAUUGGGCGAUAGCUGAUCAGCGAGCGACUGAGAUGGAGAAGGAGUUGGUUGGGAGUCGAGCGGCCAUCCAUCGAUCCAUUAUUAUAUGGCCUGGGCGCGCGCAAGCGGAUUGGAGUCGGAGAGGGAGUAGCGAUGUAUUCCGAAGCGGUCUCCAAUUACGCGGCUCUGAUUCGGAGUUUCGGACUCGGAUCUGUUCUUCUAGUUUUCUGUUUCCCUCUCUCCUGUUCGACUCGACUCGGACUCGGCCGCCGCCUGCACUGCAUCAGCCCCGAUCUACCGGUUUUCUCCCAUUAUAUUCCAUCCAUUUUUCUGGUCUCUCUCCAUCCGCCAUGGUGAGUUUUGUUUGUUUUGUUUUGUUUCAUUUUCUGGUCGAGAUUAGGUCUUCUCUCCCUUCCUAUAACAUGAAUUUAUUGAUCAGUUUUUUGUUGCGAUUUCUAACCCGUUCUUUCCUGUUUUGUCAGACUUUUCUGUCCCAGUCAAGAUUUACUUGGAUUUACCUUAUGUCUUCUCGUAGUUAGUACUUCCUCCGUUUCACUUUCUAGCAUUGCAUAUAUUUAUAUGUGUGUUUAGAUUCAUUAACAUUUAUAAUUCUAUAUGAAAUUAUAAAUGUGAGUAAUAUUAGAAAGUCUUGUAACCUGAAACGGAGGAAGUAUCUUCCAAUUUAUUAGCAAUUUGCUAGUAUGGUUCGUACUCAAUAUGAUUCCUGCAAUAGUAAACCAAAUGACGAUCAUAUACUACAAGAUUUGCUCAUAACAAGUAUAAACCAAAAAUAUACUGAUUGAAGCAUCCACUACAAGAAUCUAAAAGACAUACAAAAGUACAAACCUCUUGAAAGUUUUAAAAAAUAACUCAACAAAAUAGUCCAUCAUACAGUUUUGAAAAAGGUAAUCUAUAACUGAAAUAGUCACAUUCUUUCUACUAAAUCCUAGUAAAAGAUUAUGGUAGACAUAUAUACAACAGAUAAAGUUGCCAUACACCAGAAAUCAAUACUACAUCAUAGCCAUAUACAGCAGAGACAUCCAUGCACAGCUCCUUGACUAUCUUGAAGAGCAUGCACCAUCUUUUACAAAAGCAAAUUAUUCCAAUGCACGCAUCAAUUCAUCAUCAUGUCCACACAAAAUACUCUAAAACGAUGAAAAACCGUAAACACUGAAAUGCAGAGGGCGUUCAAUUGUCAAGGGGCCAUGUAUGUCUCCACGCACUGCAAACCCCCAUUGAACCUGUAAACAUUGCCCCCUAAAACUGUCACCAUAGCAACUUGUUCACCGUAGUGCAGCCUCAGGGUGCAUUUUGGGUUGCUAGACCACACCGUUGCUUCUUGCAGCUCCCCUUUCUCCCAGCUGAUGUUCACAGUCACAUUGCCGCGAGCCCUCAAUCCCUUCACGUAGCCUUUGGGCCACUUUUCGCGCGGCAGUGCUGGUAGCAAGUAGAGAUCAGCAUCACCAUGGGUGCUCUGGAGCAGCAUUUCAGCAAUUGCAGCUGUGAAUCUGUAAGUGAAGAAUUGGGGACAUACCAAUAAGCACAAGUUAGUUACAAGUAUUUGCUCCAGGAACAUGGAUCAAUACUCGUUAAAUUUACAAGCAAGUGGAACUUACUAGGAAGAGCAAGAAAUAAAUGAUAGUCAUUGACCAAAAUAAAGUAACUAAAAAGGUGAGAAAUUUGUACCCAAAAUUUGCAUCAAUUUGGAAGGGUGGGUGUGCUGUCCAAAGAUUGGUAUACAAUCCUCCCUCAAAGUCAACCUUGCCACCAGGAGGAACCAAGGUGAUCAACUUUAGGAUCAUCCUGUAUGCAUUCUCACUAUUCAGAAGGCGUGCCCACAGUGCCAUCUUCCAUGUGGUCGACCAUCCAGGGCCAUCUUCCCCUGAUAAGCAAGCAGCCAUGAUUAACUUACUUGCCCUGGGUAAAAUUAUUCUUCUAAUUUUCCUUAAUGUAAUCAACCAUUGUUCAUGAAAAUAUUUUUUAAGGCAAAUCAUGUUCAUCCUCUUUUUUGCCAAAAUUUAUAUUCCACAAAUAUAUUCCUUGGUAGUCAAUACUCAUGAGGGAAUCAUAACAAAUUUGAAGUCUAAUAGUUUAUUUAUUUUUUCUACAUAUACUCUUAGUUAUUUUCUGUUCAUUUACCCUGCUAUGGAAUUUGUUGCCAUCAUUUGACCAAUCCCACAUGAUUAGUCCACGUGCUUGGUUAAAAUAAAUUGACAUUAAACAAUCACAAGGGUGGUAGAUCUCUUGGUUCUGGCUGUAACCAGAAAUUAGUAGCGCAUAGGGUUUAGGAGAUCCUAGAUAUGGAAUUUGCAACCAUGAUCGCAACACAUCAAGCACAGAAUAAAGAAUGUACUAUAUAUCUUUAUGGUAGUAUUUAUUUGAUAUGUUAUAAGCAAAACCACCAGGUUCCUAACUGGUUAUUCUGUGUAAGCUCAUUAGAAGUUUUUGGAAAACCUUAGACAUCAUCUGAAAAUGUGAUUAGUAGAGCACCAAUAUCCAUAACUUUUCCAUAUUAAAGACCAUGAAGUUGCUCAUUGAGUUCUGCAAACCUCGUUUGUGGAGACUAUUGGCAACAGCUUUGCAAACCUCAGGAUUUUUCUGCAUGGUUAUAGUAUGACCAGGGUAAAGACCAAACAGAUGUGACAGGUGUCUAUGAUGGACUUCUGGGUCCUCGAAAUCUUGUGCCUGCAUUCAAAACACAUUGUAGAUGGCCAAUAUGUAUUAGUAAAUCACAUUUUUUUAACAGAAACUAUAGAUUAGCUUCCUGCAGAUUUGAACUUUUACCCAUUCCAUGAUCGUGCCAUCUUUAGAAAUUUUAACUGGAGGGAGCAUUGGGAGUGCCUUCUUGAUCCUUUCAACCAGAUUAGUAUCAGAUUUUCCCAAGACCUAUUGAUCAUUGAAUCAACACUCGGUUUACAGAAUAGAAGUUCCCAAAUAUACCAACAUUGAUCUUUCUUUUCCUCAAGAGGAAUGUCAGAUUCAAUCCAUAUCUCUAAUUACAGCACAGAAACUAGCAAGGAUGGAAUUACCUCUGCAGACGAAAUGACAGCCAGGAAAACUUCACGGAUAAUAGAGAUGUCCAUUGUAGUUGAAUAGCUCACACUAGCAAGGUGACCACCAGUACCAGGAGCUAUGAAAGGAUGCUCUGGAGAAGUAGAUGGAUUUGUUUCCAAAUAGUCUCCUGGUCCCUUGAUCAACCAAUCAAUUAAAAACAUUGCACAUCCCUCCAGUAAUGGAUAUGCUCUUUUCUCCAAAAAUUCCUAGAAGACAAACAACAUUGACAGAUAUAUUUUUGAAGGAAUUUAUUCACUAUUUAAAUUGGAUAACUCAAGUAUUCCUGAACACAAUAAAUUACAGAUCUGGGCAAUAAAUAUUUGUGGGAAUAUCCAAAAUAUAUGAGCUAAAACUUGCACACUAUAAACAUAAAAAUGAUGUACUAAAAUAAUAUUAAUUAAAAAAUGAGCUUGUAACCAGAGAUGAUCCAUGCAAAAUAAGACGGGGAAGUCAAUAAAGUACAAAUGAUAGCAAUUAGCACAGCUAGUCCUUACUUUGUCCAGUGAAUACUGGUAGUUUUCCCAAAGAUGUGUACACAGCCAGGCACCCCCCAUUGGCCACAAUGCAUACAUCGCAUCUACGUAAUAUGCAGAUGAUUUUGCCCAUAUGUCCGUGACGUGAUGAGUUACCCAGCCACUCGCUUGGUAAUUGACCUAUGACAAAACAGUGUAAUUCCAACCAUGGUGAGAAGAGAGAUCAACCAUGUUUGUAACUAUUCUUUGUUUUAUCUGUUAUAAACAUGAAUGAUGCUUUAUAAUGGGAACAAAAUCCAUUGUUCUCCUCUAGGCGCUAUGUAACUUACAUUCAUAGUUUUCUUGCAACAUUACCUAAGCACAUCAUAAAAACAUAAGAAUUAUAUAAUAUGUUAGCAAUCGAAUACCGUUUUUUUCUCUUUUAUGUUAACAAUGACACUAUAGAAUGAAGUUUGACACUAUAGUAGGAAGUUUGGUGACUAUGUUUAACUGUUUAUGUAGUAAAUGUCAGCUCAUUAUCAAGCAAACAUUAUAUGAUGAUGCAAAUGAAGAAAUUUCACUAUUGCUUUUGAGUCGAAUCUAAAACAAUCAAAUCUUCACCUUUUUCUCAUGCUACUUAUAUUUGAAGUAACCUUACUUUUCACUGAAACCAAACAAGAAAGGAGUAUAGUCCAUAACUUACUUUUGCUGUUUUUGUUCCAUUAACCGCAAGAGAUCCUAUCAAGUCAAAUAGUGGUUCUUGGCAUUCAGUAAGGUUACAAGGAAGUGUUGGCCAGUAAUUCAUCUCAAGGUUUAUGUUCAGGUGAGGAGAAGCCCUGAAAAUUAAACAGCAUGAGACUUGAUUCAUAAACAGAUCACAAACGAAGUAGAAAAUAUGAUAUCAGGCAACUCAGCUAAGGUAACUUUUUACUGUAAAGGCAAGGGGCUUCUCAGGACAUCUAUAUAAUCAACAGAUAAGUUUAAAGGUGCCUCCCUCAAAGAUGCAGAAAUCUAAAAAUUGACCCAAAAAUGCAAAAUACAUUCCCAGAGAUUCCCACAAUUGAGAGAAGAAAGAGAAGGAUCUACAUGUAUCAGAUAAAUUGUAGAAACAAUGCAACUAUUCAAUUUUGUUAAAAAAAAAGAAUGUGAGUGGUGGACAAAAACUAUCUAUGACUACUCUUUCUUUAUAUUAUGUUAUGGCACAUGCUGGGUAUGGUUACAAGGACUUGGAUCAGGGGUACUCUCCCUCUUCUAUCUGCUGCAGGGUUUCACCCUGUCAUAAGAGACUCUGGGACUUUACUCUUGAUUUCUCAUUGCUUAAUGAAAGCAAAUGCAACUCCAUCCUUACCUAGAUAUUUAACUUAAACUGAGAUAAACUUAUCUCUAGUAUUGUGGAAAUAGAUGGUACUAAUAAACUAAUCUUCUCCCAAACCGAAAGUAAUCCCCAUGCUGCAGUAGAACCGGAUGAACAGUGACUACACUAGAUCUGGGGCCCAUAAGCCAGUAACAAUUAUAUUCAAACUACAAGUUACACAUUUUAUUCCAAAUAUUAAAAUUGCAUUUCUCAUUGCUUACUGAAAGCAAAUGCAACCCACAUAUUAUAAAAAUAUAUACAACAAACAGGUGUUAGAGUUAUGCAACCGACACAAUUUAUGAAAUGUAUUACAAAAUCUAACCAGGCAACAAAACAUAAUUAACAGAUUUUUUGGUACUGGCACUAUGAAAUGAAUCCAAUUGCAAUACACAGGAUUGCUAUGGUAUCAAUAAAAUUUUGAAAACUCCAACUGUAUGACUGAUGGUAUACAGGAUCCUUGUCAUGUAUGAUUUGAUACAAGACUGAAAAGCAACUGAACAAACAUAACUCUAAAGAAUGUCUUCAUACAUGUAACAAGCAUUCUGUUCAUAUGUGUGUUUACAACCACUAAAAUGAAUAUGAAUAAAAGUUACCAGGUACUGUUCAAAUUUAAUCAAACUAAUAGUACAUGUUUUAAGCUUAAUAUUUGUGUUUGGAAAGUAUAGGCGGUCCUUGCCUGGAUAUAAAACAAGCAGAAAAUGAAUAAGCAGCAACAAAUAACUGAAGCAAAAGCUUUUAUUGAAAGACUUACUCCCAAGCAGGUGCAAAAUCUUGGUUCCAUAUUCCUUGCAGAUUAGAUACCUGUGUCCCAGGCCGAGAGGAGGAAAUGAGCAGGUAGCGACCAUACUGAAAUAACAAUUCGACCAAAGAAGGAUCCUCAUCGCUUCUAAAGGAAUUAAUUCUUUCUGCUGUAGUCUUUACGUCAUGAUCAACUUCUUCCAAGAUAUCUUUCUCAAGCAUUGAUGCUUGCGAUAGUUGCAGAGUUACACGGUGAAAAAGACCCUGAUAAUCUUCCAAAUGAGCAGCUUUGAGCUGAGAAAAUGUAGCAUUCCUGCUGAUAUUCAAUGUAUUUAGAGCAGCUACUUCAGGGUUUAAUUUUGACUCUGAAGGAUUCACGAAAGGCCCAUCGAAUGAGGAAGCAGCUGCAACCAGCAAAACAACCCAAUCUGCAGCAUCAAUUCUUAACUUUUGAUCAUCAAUAAUUGUGACUUUUGCGGAAGUGCCACCAAUCUGCAGCCCAACAGCAGUUGCAAACUUGAUGCCAAUAGCAUCGUUGGCCCCAUUGUGAUGCAGUGCAGGUCUUCGUCCUGGACAUGUACCUUGCAUAAUCAUCUCAUUUGCAUUUGUUAUCCGAACAUUGUGGUUUAGUUGACUGUUUAAGGAUAAAGUGAAAGAAACAUGUCCUGAUUUGUUAGCAGAGAUCUUGGUGGCAAAAACCUGGUGUGGAUUUGAGCAGAAGUGCUCUCUACUGUACUGAACUUCCCCAAUAUUAUAGCUGAUGCAAACAGUUGCAGUACGUAGAUCUAGCUCUCUUUUGUAAGAAGUAUACCCCAGACUAGAUGAGUCAAACUCCAGAUUUAUGUCUCCAAGAGGUUGGUAAACCUUCAUAGAAAAUAAAGGUAAAAAUAGCUUUUCAUUCACAUUUAAAUGAAUUUCUUUGCACUUGAUUGUAAUGUUGCACAUACAGUGAUUCAUGCCAUCCUUAUAAACUUAUGGAACCCAUUAUCCCUAGUGGCGUGAUAAAAUAACCAUCUAUUCAAAAAUUUAAUUUAAUGGCAGUUGUGGUAUGAGCUCUUCAAAACUAUCAUAUGUUUUCUUGAAUAAGCAUGCCAUCAUUCCACAUUCAAGAAAGUAGAUCAAACAAAAUAAUUUCUGGAGUUCUACUUAAUGCAUAAGCAACAAGGGAAACAAAAUUAUGGCUUUCUUCAACAUUGUUUUGGUGAGUUUUAUUUUUCUUUCAAACGAAGGCAAAUCUUUCCGUUGUAUAAAUUCAUAGAGCAGGAGUAUUUUGGUGAGGUACAGUCAUAUAGAACAUUUAUAUUUAAGGCUAGAUCAUGUAAGGGCUAAAAUAUGCAUAUUCGUUAACUAAUAAAGGAUCUAUCCUCUAUGCAACUAGCACAUCAACCAGAAGAAGAAAAUGAAAAAUAUAUUCUCAUUUGCAACUCAUAAAUCAGAAUACCAAGGCUAGCAUACACAAACACAUACCUCUGUUGGACCACCGAAAAGGCCAGAGGCAGCCUCUGUAGCAUCAACAAACUUCUCUCCAUCAACGAGCUUCCUCACAACAGCGAGUGCGUAUGGCGCAUUUGGGUCAGUGUAGUUCCCAGGCACGCCGGUCCAAAGGGUAUCAUCUACAAGAUCAUUCAGCUGUGAGACACAUAAGAAAGAAAAAAAGGAGAAGACUGUCGCUAUCAUGAGCAUAGUCCAGCUGGGGCAUUUCGUCGAACGCCUUGCGAGCAGCAUCAACAGGGCCAAGAAACCGAGAAAUAACGGCAAGCGGCAACGUACGGUUGAGCUGGAGCUUCUCGGAGGCGACGCUGCCCCAGACCAUGGCUCCGAGGCUGCCGUUCCCGAUGGGCGCCGCGUCCGUGAAGUGCUCGGCCGGGGAGUCGAACACCACCUUCAGCGGCCGCUCCUCCUCGUCGUCGUCGGCCGGCCGCCGCACCCAGACCCAGCCGUCGCCGUCCAUGGGAGAGAACGCGGUGGGUGGCGGGCGGAGGAGAGGUGGAAUCCGGGUUGAGAAGGGAGGGAGUGAGGCAGUGCUUUAACAGGUGAGGGUGGAGGGGGUUGGCAAUGGCAAUGGCAAGCUUCCAUUUUGGGAUGGGUUUCCGUGUUCUCUUCUUGGGUGGGUGGUGUGAAUUUUGGCGCCAACAGAAGUACAGAACGGAGAUACUUACUCCCUCCGUUUUUUUAUAUAUAUUUCAGUUGAUUUUUUAAGAAACAUUUGAUCGUUCAUCUUAUUUAAAAUUUAUAUAUUAUUUUCUUUAUUUCACAAUGUAUAUAACAUCAAUAUGAAUGUGAAAAAUAUUAAAAUGACUUACGUUAUAAAACAGAAGAAGUAUCAUUUAUUUUUUAUAACUCAAUUUAUCUUUAAAUGUUCUUUAAACAUGACUUAAAUUUUUUUAUAUUUAUAUAAAAUUUUAAAUAAGACGAAUAGUCAAACAUUUAUCAAAAUACCAACGACAUCGUAUAUUUAAAAAUAGGGUUACAUAUGAAAAGAAGGUUUCCGUUCCAUUGCCACGGUUUGGGCAUUCUUUCUGUUGCAGCAUUGCCGCUUCCAGCAAGCGAGCAACUAUAGUGCCCUAAAAAAACACAAAAGGACAAAAGGCAAAUUAUUCUGAAAAUUCUUCAAACCCUCAUGAUUUUCUGCUAUUACUCAUUUUUGGCAUUUUGGAAUAUUGUUCUAUAUACUUUAGUAUGAGAACGUGUAACCCGACUGGUAGAGCUACCAGGCCAUGCUUCAAUCCCCUCAAAUUCAAAUUCAGGUAUUCUCAUAAGUUUCUUCUUUAUCGAUACUGGGCACUAAGUUCUUCCUUAGUAUCGUAGAAAAAAAAUACUGUAGUGUCUGUUUUACACAAAAGAGAGAUGUGUGUUGAGCCAAGAUUGUGUUCUAUAUAAUGCUAUUCGCAAUGGUUAUUUUCUCUUUUCCGUUCUCGAACCGCUAAACAGUUCGUUUCACGAAAAAAAAAUUACAUGGAAGUAUUUUCUAAAAAAGAGUCCGUAUUAAUUUAUUUUAUUUUAUAAGUUUAAAUAAUUAUUAAUCGAUUAAUCGUGCAUGAACACCUCGUCUUAUGCGCCGCUGAUUAGGUGAACCAAAAUGCUUAUUCGAACAAGGCCUAAAUAACAUGCUAGCUAUUUUUCUCAAAAAGUUAAUGUUAGAAUAAAUAGGCUAGGCCUGAUUUUUUUAUUAAAUCUCAAGGACCCAUAAUAAAUGUUAAGGAUAAUAAUACUACCCUGGGAAUUAAAAGAGGAGUACCUCAACUUAAAUAGGAAGUUAUUGAAGGCUCCCUGUUGACCGGUUGACUUAAAUAGGAAGUUAUUGGAGCCUCUCUGUUGACCGAUUGAGGUGGGGAUCGAAAAGCCACGCGCGCGCGCCGAGCCGAGGCAUGCGCUGCGUCUCUCUCUCCUUUUUGCAACAGACCGGAAUUCAAUCCCGCGAGAUUGCUUCUGUAACGGCUGUUAAAUUCAAUCCCGCGAGAUUGCCUCUGUAACAGACAGCCGAUUCAAUGCGAUUGAUAGCGUCGUUACGUUACUACGGCAACGGGCGGAUUCCUCUCUGGCGCUAUUAGGAAACAGGGGACCCCGCGAGAUUGCCUCUGUCAAUGCAAUUGAUAGCGUCGUUAUGUUACUGUGGCAAAGGGCGGAUUCCUCUCCGGCGCUAUUAUGAAAUAGAGGACCCCGCGAGAUUGCCUCUGUAACGGACAGCCGAUUCCCGGAAUUCAAUCCCGCGAGAUUGCCUCUGUAAUGGACAGCCGAUUCAAUGCGAUUGAUAGCGUCGUUACGUUACUGCGGCAACGGGCAGAUUCCUCUCCGGCGCUAUUAGGAAACAGAGGAACCCGAUCAGAUCUCAUCGCUUAGUUUCCAAAUCGUUGGUUCUUCCUCCUCGUGCCUGUGCUGCUUCGGUUUUCCCCGGUUCUGAUCACUUGCGCGCACGAGAGAUCGGAACAAACAUGGCCUCCGGAACCACACCUUCGCCUGAGAUCUGCACCGGGUAGGCGGGUGACUGGAGCUGCCGCACCCGCACCUGGAGAUGGCGCACCGAUCGACAACACCAACGGAGGCAGUUCUGCCUCACAAUCCAGCGGAGGGACUUUCACAGGGUAUAACUUUCUACCGCGACUUUGUGUUUGUUGCUUCUGUUAGUCGCAAUACUAUUGUGUUCUCUCCAUGAUGAUGAUGCUUAUUCUAUCCUAAGCAUGCUCCUGGUUAUGUUUAAUUUUAUCACUAGAUCACCUCACAUUGUUCGUGCCAUGAUUAUUGUCUUAAUAUUUUGAUUAAAAUAUGCUGAUAUAUGACUAUAUUUCCAACAAUCCAAAAACCUGAUAGGUCAUUUUUGGUAGUUGGCUUUGCUGCUGCACUGAAACCACAUGCUUUUGAUGGUUCUAAUUAUAAGAGAUGGAAAGCAUGUGCACUACUGUGGUUGACAGCGAUGCAAUGUUUCUAUGUUUCACGGGGUAAACGAAGUGAACCACCUCUCUCUCCUGAGGAGGAGGUUAAGUUCGAGGCUUCGGAUUGCCUGUUCCGUGGAGCAUUGAUCAGUGUACUCGCUGACAAUAUAGUGGACGUGUAUAUGCACAUGCCUUCAGGGAAGGACAUGUGGGAUGCACUUGAGGCCAAGUUCGGAGUUUCCGACGCCGGCAGCGAGCUGUAUGUCAUGGAGCAGUUCUAUGACUACAAAAUGGUCGAUGACUGUUCUGUAGUUGAACAAGCUCAUGAGAUUCAGAUGCUGGCUAAGGAACUUGAGAACAACAACUGUGAGUAGCCGGACAAGUUUGUGGCAGGUGGCAUUAUUGCCAAAUUGCCACCUUCUUGGUCGGGCUUUGCCAUUUCUCUAAAGCACAAGAGACAAGAGUUCAGUGUUUCUGAUCUUAUUGGCUCUUUGGGUGUUGAGGAGAAGGCGAGGGCAAAGGACAACCGGGGCAAAAAGGUUGAGGGAGGUUCUAGUGCCAAUAUGGUACAGAAGAAGAACCCUCAUGCAUCCCACAACAACAAGAAAGUCAAGCCUGAUGUCAAACCCAAGGCUACAACCAAUUUUAAGAAGAAAGGCAAGGGAAAGGCAAAAGGAGACCGCUUUGUGUGUGGCAAGUCUGGGCAUUGGGCCAAGGACUGUCCUGAGUGCAAAGACAGGAAGUCUGCCAACAUGGUCAUUAGCGAGGGCGGAAGAACAUCGGGGUACGGUAAAAUUUUACCUACAGUUCUCUCUGUUUUUCAUUCACCUGAUUGGUGGAUUGAUAUUGGUGCUAAUAUUCAUGUAUGUGCUGAUAUUUCCCUGUUUUCUUCUUAUCAGGUCGGGAGAGGUUCCUCCUUGUUGAUGGGAAACAGGUCACUUGCGGCUGUUCAUGGUGUUGGUACGGUCGAUCUGAAGUUUACUUUGGGAAAGACCGUGCAGCUGAAGAACAUGCAGCAUCUCCCUUCGAUAAAGAAUAAUCUAGUUAGCGGCUCUCUACUGUGUAGAGAAGGUUUUAGACUUGUGUUUGAAUCCAAUAAAUGUGUCAUAUCUAAAUAUGGAACUUUUAUUGGAAAAGGUUAUGACAGGGGAGGCUUGUUCCGCUUUUCUUUGGAUGACAUGUGUAAUAAUAAUAAUGUUGUGAACCAUAUUAGCGAGAAUGAUGUGUCCAAUGUGUGGCAUUCGCGACUCUGUCAUGUGAAUUUCGGUUGUAUGACACGCUUGGCUAACAUGAGUUUAAUUCUAAAAUUCACUUGGGUCAAAGGUUCCAAGUGUCAUACUUGUGUUCAAUUGAAACAACCUCGCAAGACUUAGAAGGCAUCUGAGGCGAGGGAUUUGGCACCUCUAAAACUUAUUCAUUCUGAUCAGUGUGAAAUGAAUGGCGUGUUGACUAAAGGGGGGGAAGAAAUAUUUCAUGACGUUGAUAGAUGAUUGCACUAGAUUUUGUUAUGUGUAUUUAUUGAAAACAAAUGAUGAAGCAUUGCAUUACUUUAAGACCUAUAAAGCUGAGGUAGAAAACAACCUUGAAAGGAAAAUCAAACGGUUGAGGUCUGAUAGGGGUGGAGAGUAUUUUUCCAAUGAGUUUACAUCUUUUUGCGAAGAGUUUGGAAUUAUUCUUGAGAGGACACUUCCCUAUUCACCCCAAUCAAAUGGGGUAGCCGAACGAAAGAACCGUACUCUAACUGAGAUGGUGAAUGCCAUGUUAGACACUGCGGGACUUUCCAAGGAAUGGUGGGGUGAGGCAGUUUUGACUACUUGUCAUGUCCUAAAUAAAAUUCCAAUGAAGCAUAAGGAAGUAACACCAUUCGAGAAAUGGGAAAGAAAGAAAUUAAAUCUCUCAUACCUAUGAACAUGGGGCUGUUUGGCCAAGGUAAAUGUACCUAUAGCCAAAAAGCGGAAACUUGGACCAAAUACUGUUGAUUGUGUGUUCAUUGGUUAUGCUAUUCACAGUGUGGGUUAUAGAUUCUUAAUAGUAAACUCUGGAGUACCCGACAUGCAUGUUGGUACAAUUCUUGAGUCCAGAGAUGCUACAUUCUUUGAGAAUGAAUUUCCCAUGAAACAUACACCUAGCACUUCUAGUCAAGAAACUGUCAUGCCCCAUGAGCACUUUGCACCGAUAGAACACAAUGAUCAAACGCCUGAGGAAAAUCCUGAGGAGGACAACAUUGUAGAUACUCGCAAGAGUAAGAGACAAAGGGUUGCAAAAUCCUUUGGAGAUGACUACAUUGUAUACCUCGUGGAUGACACCCCAAGAACCAUAGAAGAGGCAUAUUCAUCUCCUGACGCUGACUACUGGAAGGAAGUAGUACGCAGUGAGAUGGACUCAAUUAUGUCUAAUGGUACUUGGGAAGUCGUUGAGCGUCCAUAUGGGUGCAAGCCUGUAGGAUGCAAAUGGGUUUUCAAGAAAAAGCUUAAGCCUGAUAGUACAAUUUAAAAGUAUAAGGCAAGGCUUGUGGCCAAGGGUUAUACCUAAAAAGAAGGCGAGGAUUUUUUCGACACCUACUCACCAGUUGCCCGUUUGACCACGAUUCGAGUACUACUUGCUCUAGCAGCCUCUCAUGGUCUUCUCGUCCAUCAGAAUUGGACGUUAAGACAGCUUUCCUAAACAGAGAGCUAGAGGAGGAGAUCUAUAUGGAUCAACCAGACGGGUAUGUACUAGAAGGUCAGGAAGGAAUGGUGUGUAAACUGUUGAAAUCCUUGUAUGGCCUUAAGCAAGCACCUAAGCAAUGGCAUGAGAAGUUUGACACCACACUUACAUCUGCUAGCUUUGUUGUGAACGAAGCUGACAAAUGUAUGUACUAUCGCUAUGGUGGGGGAGAAGGAGUGAUCUUGUGUUUAUAUGUCGAUGACAUAUUGAUCUUUGGGACCAGCCUCAAUGUGAUUGAGGAGGUCAAGGACUUUCUGUCCAAGAGCUUUGAAAUGAAGGAUUUGGGAGAGGCUAAUGUUAUUCUUAACAUUAAGCUACUGAGAGGAGAUGAGGGUGGGAUUGCACUUGUGCAAUCCCACUAUGUGGACAAAGUUUUAAGUCACUUUGGCUACAGUGACUACAAGCCAGCUCCUACUUCUUAUGAUCCCAGCGUGCUAUUAAGGAAAAACCGAAGAAUAGCAAGGGAUCAACUGAGAUACUCCCAAAUCAUUGGUUCAUUGAUGUACUUGGCUAGUGCAACGAGGCCUGACAUCUCAUUUGCUGUAAGCAAGCUGAGCUGGUUUGUUUCAAAUCCGGGAGAUGAUCAUUGGCAGGCUCUAGAAAGAGUAAUGCGCUAUCUAAAGGGUACUAUGAGCUGUGGAAUUCACUAUACCGGGUACCCAAAAGUACUGGAAGGGUAUAGUGACUCAAACUGGAUAUCUGAUGUUGAUGAGAUAAAGGCCACAAGUGGAUAUGUGUUCACACUUGGAGGUGGCGUUGUUUCCUAGAAGUCUUGCAAGCAGACCAUCUUAACGUGGUCAACAAUGGAAGCAGAACUUAUAGCACUAGAUACUGCGACAGUUGAGGCCGAGUGGCUUCGAGAACUCCUGAUGGAUUUGCCGGUGGUUGAAAAACCAGUGCCAGCUAUCCUAAUGAACUGUGAUAAUCAAACAGUGAUUAUUAAAGUGAACAGUUCAAAGGACAACAUGAAGUCAUCUAGGCAUAUCAAAAGAAGACUGAAAUCUGUCAAAAAGCAGAAAAACUCCGAAGUGAUAGCAUUGGACUAUUUCCAAACGGCUAAAAAUCUGGCAGAUCAGUUUACCAAGGGGCUACCACGUAAUGUGAUAGACAUUGCAUCAAGGGAAAUGGGCUUGAUACCCACCUAAGGUUGCACAAUAGUAGAAACCUGUCCAUUGUGAUCGGAGAUCCCGUGAAUUUGGAUGGCUAAACAAACUAUUGUGUGGCUGAGAGAAGAGACCCUUGAAAAGGGCUCAUUUUCAUGAUGUAUUUCUCUUCUAUUCUGCAUGGUAGGAUGGCUUAUGCCUUAAUGUGGUCCAAGUGGCUUUUCUAAGCAGAGAUGUUGACCUACAGAACAUCUCAGAAGGAACACAACUAUAUGAGUUCGACUGCUAGUCACAGUAUAUGAGAUUUGGGCGAUCUCUAGAUACUCAUGAAAGGGCCUGGAGUUUGACUUAUAUACUCCAAACAGAGAUGCAAACGGCAUCCCAGUACCAGUCAAGGGUUUGAGUGAAACCUGAUCACACAAGACUAACAAUUCAAGGCAUAGUCCAUUGUUCAGUUGUGGUCUGAUGUAGCUCAUUUCCUAGGUGGAAGUUCAACUUAACAGUCUCUACCAAAACACUGGUAUAUCAAACAGGUUCAACUUUGAGAACAUUUCUUAUGAGCCAUGAAAUUUGGUGGGGAUUAUUAGAAUAAAUGAGCUAGGCCAGAUUUUUCUAUUAAAUCUCAAGGGCCCAUAAUAAAUGUUAAGGAUAAUAAUACCACCCUGGGAAUUAAAAGAGGAGUACCUCAACUUAAAUAGGGAGUUAUUGGAGGCUCCCUGUUGACAGGUUGAGGUGGGGAUCGGAAAGCCACACGCGCGCGCGCGCCGAGCCGGGCCGAGGGCGUGGGCGUGGGCGAGGCAUGCGUUGCAUCUCUCUCUCUCCUUUUUUGCAACGGACCGGAAUUCAAUCCCGCGAGAUUGCCUCUGUAACGGAUAGCCGAUUCAAUGUGAUUGAUAGCGUCGUAACGUUACUGCAGCAACGGGCGGAUUCCUCUCCGGCGCUAUUAGGAAAUAGAGUACCCCGAUCAGAUCACAUCGCUUAGUUUCCAAAUCGCUGGUUCAGAUCUCAUCGCUUAGUUUCCAAAUCGCUGGUUCUUCCUCCUCGCGCUUGUGCUGCUUCGGUCUUCCCCAGUUUUGAUCGCUUGCACGCACGAGAGAUCGGAACGAGCAGGGCCUCCGGAACCACACCUUCGCCUGAGAUCUGCACCGGGUUGGUUUUUGGGGAGUGCUUCCGCACGACUGCUCCUCUUCCUCAGUUUGUCAUCCGUUCAUCUGCAUCACCAUGAUUGGAGCUGCCGCACCCGCACCUGGAGAUGGCGCACCCGAAGCUGGCGCACCGAUCGACAACACCAACGGAGGCAGUUCUGCCUCACAAUCCAGCAGAGGGACUUUCACAGGGUAUAACUUUCUACCAUGAUCUUUGUUGCUUCUGUUAGUCGCAAUACUAUUGCGUUCUCUCCAUAAUGAUGAUACUUAUUUUAUCCUAAGCAUGCUCCUGGUUAUGUUUAAUUUUAUCACUAGAUCACCUCAUAUUUUUUAUGCCAUAAUUAUUGUCUUAAUAUUUUGGAUUAAAAUAUGCCGAUAUAUGACUAUAUUUCCAACAGUUAAAGGACAAACAUGAACAUUCUAGACAGCUUAGUAGAACUUUUUUCCAGCCUUAAUGAAUACUUUGCCGCUUUCCUUGACCAACCUCUACCUGAUCAUUACACGCAUUAUUACAUUCGAGACACUCCUCUGCUCCUGAUUUGUUACUGGAUACUGGCAGUGCAGUGCACGACAUAUCAUUUUUCAGUUAGUUGUGAAUGCACUAACUUACAAUCCAUGAUCAAUAUAUCUAUCUGGAUGCAGCUGCUAUUUUGUAUUCUCUCUAUUUCCAUUUCAAAAUAUAUAUGACUCCGUAAACUUUUCACAUAAUGUUCGACUAUUCGUUUCAUAAAAAAUAUAUAAAUAUUAUUUAUUUUACUGUGAUUUGUUUUGUCAUUAAAGAAACUACAAUCUCAACUUAAAAUUUUACAUAUUUAUACCAAAUUUUUUAAUAAGACGAAAUAUCAAACCAUAUACGAAAAAUCAACAGCGCCUUAUAUUUUUGGAAUGAUGUGGUAUUUUUAUAUAGGGAGAAUAGCUACUUUAGUCCCUAAAGUUUGUCUGUAUGAUCAGUUUAGUCCCUAACCUUUUAAAUGGUCCAAAGAAAUCCUUAACCUUUGUCAUAAGGCCUAGAAUAGUCCUUGGGUCCACCAAAAUCAUCAUAUGAAUAUGCCAUGUCAUCAUUCAUUCAAAAUCUAUGAUGAGUUGUCCAAUUUACCCUUACAUAUAUCAUAGAAAAAUAAAUAUAAUGGUGAAUUAGACAUAACCAUAGGAAAAAAAUACUUCGGUAUAUUUUUGCUCUUACAUAUACCAUAUAUUUUUUAAAAAUUUUCCUUUUGUUUUUUAUUUUCCUAUGCGUAAGGGUAAAUUGGACAAAUCAUAUAGAUUUUGCAUAAGAAGGUGAUAUGGCAUGUCCAUGUGGCGAUUUUGGUGAGACCAAGGACUAUAUUAGCCUAGAUGACAAAUUUAAAGGACUUGUUUGAACAAUAUAAAAGAUUAAGGACUAAAAUGACCUAGGAGCGAAACUUUAGGGACCAUAUUAGCUAUUUUCCCUUUUAUAUACUUGUAUAGAACACCACAAACGUGAUGGCCUCCCAAGUUAAGAUAUACGGCCGUUUUUGGAAGCAGAACUGAUUAUCUCUAUGUUCUAAAAGUGGGGAAAAAACCGAAGAUGUGAUUCUUGGGUACUGUAAAAAACAACUGACUCGGUCAUUCAAGCCGGUUCGUUUGUUAAUAUUUGCACUACCCAACUUCUGUAGGGUAGAGAUGGAAGAGCACUAGUUUUGUUUGGCACUAAAUUUGUCUUUAAGCAGUGAAGAUGGAAAUGUAGACACUCACCUGUUCAUGAUAUGAUGAUGAUUAGCGUCAGUGAGAGUGUGGACGCAGGAAAUAUCGGGUGCGUUUGAUUCAAUGCCAUUCUCAAAACACAUCAAAGAAUUUGAUGAUGGAAGUACCCACAAAGCUCAUUUUGUCUGUUGCCAAAAUUGGCAUGUCAAUAUUUUGGCAAGGGUAGAACAAUUUUAGCAUAAAAUUCCUAAAUGUUUGGCUUGCGAAUAUUUGGGUAAGGUUGAGAAAUAUAGCUUCAAUCCAAACAAGCCCAUCAUUUUCCAGUUUUGGUGGCAUCCAGAACAGAUGGGCGGUGGCGUUACAUAUUAAUUAUGGGAGUACUUAUACAUCUUUCGAAAGAUUUUUAUGAUCGUAUCACAUAGAUUUUUAAUCUUUGGAUUAAAAUCCGAUAGAUAUAAUAAAAGGCAAAAAGCAAUUAAGAAACACCAUAAUGGACACUAAAUUACCAUAUCCUCAAGAAAAAGACCAAAUCCAAUACAAAAUUUAAAAUUUACAUGCGAAGAUUCAAAAAUUACAGUGUAACUAACAAAAGUUACAGUGUAAGUUUUAUAAAUUACACUGUAACUUAUAAGAAAAGGCACUGUAAAUUUGAGUGAGAAAAUCGAGUGAGAGAUAAGAAAAAAUCUUUCGAGUGAGAUAUAGCAAAAUCGAUUAAUUAUUAGUUGUGUAGGCCCAUUAUUCCAGUAACUUAUGCAGCACUAGUGUGCAUGGAAGACAAUUAAUCUGUGUGAUGGUUGAAGUAAUAAUAGAUGUUAAUCCACAACUUACAAGCAAGAGUCUUAAGUAGAAAGCAUGUUUAUAGGUAGGGUUGAAACUGGUUCGGAUAGUUUCCGUCCGUCCGGACCAUUUUUCGGAUUCGGAUAGUUUCGGUCGGAACUAUCCGGAAAUUCUCGGAUUUGGAAACGAAUUCGGAUUUUUUUUUCUCGGAAACGAAAACGAAUAUAGUAAGGGUACUAUCCGUCGGAAUCGGAAAACAGUCGGAAACUAUCUGGAAUUUUUUUCGGAUAUCCGCAGACAUUGAGCAAUUUUAGAAAAAAACACGUAUAUAUACACAACUUUUUCAUACAGAAUCAGAUGAAGAAAAACUUUAUAUCAACAUUGUAGAGCUUGAUGAGAUCUAAAACUUUCUUAUUGACUAUUUUAUUAUUUGGGGUCAUUUAAGGGUCUAAAUAUUCAUUAUAAUAUACCAUAUUAAUUUUUAUAAAAUUUCAGAUCUACAAUUCAAACGAUAUCUGAUGGAGAUAUGUUCCAUAUCAAAGUUGUAGAUGUGUUCCAUAUCAAAGUUGUAGAGCUCAACGGGAUCUACCCACUUUGUAGUUUAUAACAUUUGUAUUUAAAAGCAUUUAAAGUAUAAAACAAAUAUUACAAGUUUCGAAGAUGUGAAAUAAAAUAAAUAACAUCUCCAAUUUAUACAAUGGUAAGUAAUUAAGUUAUAUAUCUAGUAAAAGGUCUUUGGAAUAAAAAAAUGAUAAUCAUAUUUGCAUAUGGAUCUCUUAGAGGAACAACCAUAAAAAUCAAUUUUCAUAUAUGGUUGUGGGACCGUCUACAAAAUUGAUGAUAUAAAUGUUGGAGAUGUUGAACUAAAAUAAUAAGCGUUAUCUCUUCCUUGAUUAAGAAACUCAAUUUGAGGGGUUUUUUAUAUACCGGUAAAUAUUCGCUGCCGUAUUCGUUUCGUCUCGUAUUCGCUCCGUAUCUGUAUUCGAUAAUAUUCAAUUUCAUUUCUAUAUCCGAGUUUUCCAUUCCGAUUCCGAUUCCGAAAAAAAAAAUAUAAAAACGAAUAUGAUAAAGCUAGUUUCUGUCCGUUUCUGAUCCGUUUUCAUCCCUAUUUAUAGGUCCAGCUAUUUUGUACUUCCAUGGAAAUAGAUAAGCUGGAUCACGUAGGGUAGAUGAAACACUUUACUGAACACAGUACUGAAUUGAUGUGCAAUACAACAAGAUUACAGUCGUUGCUAAAGUUGUAAGAGUGCUAAGGUUAAAGUUGGUGUUCAACUCUUUAACCCGGUGGCCCCUGUAAUAUAGAGGAGGCAUCACACUGUACCCGUAGUAACGACAGUGAAUGGCAGGGUAAUCAUUGACAAAGGGAAUUCUUGAAAAGAUGAAGCUUGAUAAUUUUCAAGUAAUCUACUCAACAAAUUUUAUGUUAAUAUUUCUUGUUUAUAUAAACGAAUAUUGCCUGAUUCCAGUAGUGAUUUUUGCACACAGAUUUUCAUUCUGUUUCCAACUGAAGUGAUUGAUAGUUGCCGUCUUGUACUUUUCUAUGUUUAUACUGUUCAGUGUUAGAAAACUGACUAUAAUUUAUUGAUGGUUACUUUGUUUUACUUAAUAGCUUGGUAGCACUAAGGUUUUCCUAAGAGCUGGUCAAAUCACAAUUUUAAAUAUGCGUCAUGCUGAAGUUUUGGAGAACGCUGCACGCCACAUUCAAGGUCGUUUUAGAACAUUCAUUACACGCAAAGAAUUUGUUAAAACAAGGGAGGCUUCAAUUUCUAUACAAUCAUAUUGCAGAGGUAAAAUUUCUGUUGCUUUGUUAUAUUAAUUCCUCCAUGAAUUAUGGUAUAUUGUUGGUUUCAAUGCUAAAUUGCUGCUACAUUCUGGUUGCUAAUUUUAAUGACUUUUCAGGCUGUUUGGCAAGGAAGAUGUAUAUGGUUAAAAGAGAAAUGGCGGCUGCUAUAAUUGUUCAGAAGUAUGUCCGGAGAUGGCGGCUUCAUCGGACUUACCAGCAAGCUCAUUCAGCAGCUCUUCUUAUUCAAUCCUGUAUUCGAGGAUUUAUCGCUCGCCGUUAUUUCUCAGUUAUCAGAGAGCAGAGAGCUGCUUUGGUGAUACAGGUGUGUCCCUCCUCUUAAGUUUCAACUUGGUUAUCUGGAACAGUGCUAGGAUAGUAAAUAAAUACUUCCUCAGUUUUAUAUUAUAAGACUUUCUAGCAUUGCCCACAUAUAUGUCUAGAUUCAUUAUCAUAUAUAUAUAUAUAUAGGCAAUGCUAGAAAGUCCUAUAACCUGAAACAGAGGUAGUAAUAGGUAAGCUCUCUUUAGAAGUCAUACGCAUGUUCCUUAAUUUGUUGUUGGGCUCUUGGCUAAGGUAAGUAUAGACUAAGGUAAGGCAUACUAAUCCUACAAUGACGCGGUGGUUUAGUCUGAGUGUAGUUGUAGGUCUGGUAAUGUACGUGUGAUGUGAGUGGGGUGUGAGUGUGUGUUGUAGGUGUGUGUUCGUACAUUUGAACCCAAACCGUUCAUUUGAACACAGCCUUGUGCUUGUUUUAUGUUAUAGGCUGCAAAUGAAGCAGAUGCACUGCGUGAGGCGAAGAAUAAACUUGAGAAAAAGUUGGAUGAUCUUACUCUGAGACUAACUCUGGAAAGGAGACUGCGGGUAAGUGUUGUAUAUCACUUUUAGCUUUGUGCUCUAUUUGUUAAUUACUACUCCCCCGUUUCAGGUUGCAAAACGUUUUGACUUUGGUCAAAAUCAAACUACUUCAAAUUUGACUAAGUUUAUAUAGUAAUAUUUAUAAUACUAAAUUAGUUUCAUUAAAUUAACAAUUAAAUAUAUUUUCAUAAUAAAUUUAUGUUGAAUUGAAAAUAUUUUUUUUUUCUACAAACUUGGUCAAAUUUGAAGCAAUUUGACUUUGACUAAAGUCAAAACGUCUUAUAAUCUUAAACGGACGGAGUACCUCCCUCCCAAAAUAUAGCAACUUUUAGCUACAAAUUUGAACAUGCACUUGUUAUAUUCUAUGCUGGAGGGAGCUUAUUAAGACUUACUGUUGAGAGGAGACAUCUGGUUGGCCAUUAGAGACAGAAUUCNNNNNNNNNNNNNNNNNNNNNNNNNNNNNNNNNNNNNNNNNNNNNNNNNNNNNNNNNNNNNNNNNNNNNNNNNNNNNNNNNNNNNNNNNNNNNNNNNNNNNNNNNNNNNNNNNNNNNNNNNNNNNNNNNNNNNNNNNNNNNNNNNNNNNNNNNNNNNNNNNNNNNNNNNNNNNNNNNNNNNNNNNNNNNNNNNNNNNNNNNNNNNNNNNNNNNNNNNNNNNNNNNNNNNNNNNNNNNNNNNNNNNNNNNNNNNNNNNNNNNNNNNNNNNNNNNNNNNNNNNNNNNNNNNNNNNNNNNNNNNNNNNNNNNNNNNNNNNNNNNNNNNNNNNNNNNNNNNNNNNNNNNNNNNNNNNNNNNNNNNNNNNNNNNNNNNNNNNNNNNNNNNNNNNNNNNNNNNNNNNNNNNNNNNNNNNNNNNNNNNNNNNNNNNNNNNNNNNNNNNNNNNNNNNNNNNNNNNNNNNNNNNNNNNNNNNNNNNNNNNNNNNNNNNNNNNNNNNNNNNNNNNNNNNNNNNNNNNNNNNNNNNNNNNNNNNNNNNNNNNNNNNNNNNNNNNNNNNNNNNNNNNNNNNNNNNNNNNNNNNNNNNNNNNNNNNNNNNNNNNNNNNNNNNNNNNNNNNNNNNNNNNNNNNNNNNNNNNNNNNNNNNNNNNNNNNNNNNNNNNNNNNNNNNNNNNNNNNNNNNNNNNNNNNNNNNNNNNNNNNNNNNNNNNNNNNNNNNNNNNNNNNNNNNNNNNNNNNNNNNNNNNNNNNNNNNNNNNNNNNNNNNNNNNNNNNNNNNNNNNNNNNNNNNNNNNNNNNNNNNNNNNNNNNNNNNNNNNNNNNNNNNNNNNNNNNNNNNNNNNNNNNNNNNNNNNNNNNNNNNNNNNNNNNNNNNNNNNNNNNNNNNNNNNNNNNNNNNNNNNNNNNNNNNNNNNNNNNNNNNNNNNNNNNNNNNNNNNNNNNNNNNNNNNNNNNNNNNNNNNNNNNNNNNNNNNNNNNNNNNNNNNNNNNNNNNNNNNNNNAAGCUUCUUCGUUUCAUAGGUGCUAUUUGGCAAGGAGUUGGGUUGCGGAAACAAUUUCUUCAACCGAACCAACAAAUUGUUGAAACAACUGUCGGACCAACCGUUUCUGGCCUUCAAUCUCAUAAGUUUAAGCACUGUCCGCAACAAUAUGAAAUCCUUCUCGCAACCCUUUGCCUCAUCGUACAAAAGAUCAUUCGCUGCCUUUUAUAAUGCAUCGAAGUUCUCCAACCCACGAGCGGACCCAGCUACAACCUCAGGUUCAGCAUGGCGCAAAAUCUCUUCCGAAUCAAAAUUACCAUCAUUUACGCUGACAUUACCUUCAUCGACAUCAUCAACUGUACUGUGCUGACCAUUGUCGCCAACAUCAUCAUCAUCAACAGGUUCUUCUUCUUCUUCUUCUUCUUCUUCUUCUUCUUCUUCUUCUUCUUCUUCUUCUUCUUCUUCUUCUUCUACUACUACUACUACUACCAUGAAAUCCUCGUCCAAGUUGAACACUUCAUCCCAAACUGUCGCCUGGUUGGGAACUUGUUUGCUUGGGAUUUCUCCAUGAUGUGACCAAGUUGUGUAGCGAGCACCAAAUCCAUGCGUCACCAGGUGCUGCUCGAUUACAGAUGGAUUGAUCCAAAUUUUCUGAUUUUUGCAGUGCACGCAUGGACAUCUAAUUUCCUUCGUCUUCUUAGAUGCAGCAUUCUUCUUAGCAGCUUUCAUGAAUAUGUCAACUCCUUCAGUGUAUGACGCACGAUAUCUCUCUCUAUACAUCCAUGCUCUGUCCGCCAUCUGUGCAUUAAUUGCGAAAAAAUAAGUACAACUUAGUUAGUUUAAAUAUUUUUAAUAAUAUGUCACAUUAAAAUUCUGCUAAUUAAUAUAUAUAUAUAUAUAUAUAUAUAUAUAUAUAUAUAUAUAUAUAUAUAUAUAUAUAUAUGUAGAACAUCGUUCAUGCAUAAUAUUUCUUACAAAGUUUGUCCAUUUUGAGCUCCAAAUAACAAAUAAAAAAAUACUUUUCUUCCUCCGUGUCACGUACUUUUUGCCUUGCAAAUUCUCAACAUCCAACCAAUAAAAAUGAAGAAAAAAAACUUGACAAAUAGAGUAGGAGAAAGUAUAACUAGCCUAUGGUGCAAUAGAUCUUUCAAAAGAUUCGAGAUCAAAACCUCCCCACUAUGUAUGUGUUUAUAGGAGAGAGAAAAUCGUGCUCAAAUGGCGGCUGCUAGCUGAUAUAGGCGAUGGAAAUUUCCCUAGCGGUCAGCAUAUGUUGGUUGCGGUGCACCGCCAUAGAAAAUAAACUAGGGGUGGCGGCGGCUUAAGUGGACCGCUAGCGAAGAUGUAGGUAUUUUCGCUGGCAUGCCACGUCACCUAACCACCAGCGAAGAUUGGUGUUUUUGCUUGCGUCAAGUUAAGAGGACCGCCAGCGAAAAUUCCAUAUCUUUGCUGGCGGCCAGCUUAGGGCGGCCGCUAACGAAGAUAGGUUUUCGCUGGUGGCCCGUGACCCCUCAUCCCCCUUAUUUUUUGCGCUGGCUGUUUCUUCUCGUAGCCGCUAGCAAAAAUAUUUUCCAAACGUCAUGAAAAACCGUUUUUGUAGUAGUGAUUUUAUUUUCCUAUUUUUUUCCAUCAGAAAAAGUGUACGGGAGAAGAAGAACUCUAAGCAGCAACUGUCGCCUCGCUCUAACCAGAGCCCCCUCUCAGUUUGCCACUACUGCAGCCAUUGACAGCGCCCGAACCCGCCACGCGGGCGGGUCUUUCAUGGUUGCCUCCGCCGCCGGGGGAACCCGGCGGGAUAUGGUUUGGGAGAAGGGGGCGGGGCUAGUGUUUCGGCCAGGGGCGGAUUUACUGUGGGGUCUUGAGACCCCCCUGAAUUUUUUACAAUUUGGUCCUUUUUGAAAACUUAUUUCAUAAAUAGAUCCCUGAAAAAACUUAUCCCAGAAAUUAUUCUUUUUAGGCGCCAGAGUCGCUGGCGCCGUCGUCCAACGGGAUGGCGCCAACCUUUCUAGCGCUGCCCCUGCCACCGUGGCACACGCGAACUAACGUGGUAGGAGGAGGGUGCCAGCAUGGCUGGCGUCGCCCCCCAUCCCACCUCGCCUCCAAUCCUAUUUCUCUUUUAUUUUUAUUCUUUUGGAUAUUUUUUCACACAUAGGAUAUGUGGCCCGUAGAAUUUUCAAAUAGAUCCAUGAUUGAUAUUUUAUGUGAACACCUUUUUAUUUUAGUUUUUGGAUAUUUUUAUCACACUUAGGAGCAUGCAGUAACCAACCACAGAAAAUUUAAACUCGAACGGAUGAAAUAUGUUGCAGAAUUUUUCAAAAAAAAAGUAGAUUAGGAUUUGUGUUUUUUGGUUACAUUAAGUGUCAUUUCUUGAAACAGGCGUAACUUUCUAAUACGAACUCGGAAUCAGGCAAAUAAUAUAUCAAUAGACAUCUACAGAAAAAGUUUGGCGUAAUUAGAAUCUCCAAAUUCCGCUUGCAAGAUUGUGUUUUCGAGACGAGAAGCUUUUCGGUGGAGCUUUGAAAAAUUCAACAGGUCACAAAUUUCGAAUAUUUGAGUUUAAUUUUUCUGUGGUUGGUUCUUGUGUGCUUAUAAGCGUGAAAAAAUAUCAAAUAAAUAAAAUAAAAAUAAAAAAGUUACACUUCUCUCCUUUUGUUGACGAGAAAUUCGCGCUCGGCCAAUGGUGCCGGGUCUGUGUUGGCGCGGACUAAGUCGACAAACACAACGGCCGGGGGAUCUGCUUAGCUCCAGUGUAGGACCAAAGGUUGGUGAGAUGCGGGCGUGCCAGUCAGUUUGACCUUGCAACUGACAAAAUACACAAAUAGCAGAUUAAUGGGCCGAUCGGCUGACAAGCCGAUGGAGUAAUUCCGGCCGAUGCCUCCAAUGUAGAAUGUGGCACUUGAUAUACCCUCCGUUUCGUUUUAUUUGACGCUACAAUUCAUUUCAAAAAGGAGUCUAAAUGUUUGACGUCGUAUACACUGGUCGAAACCGUUCCUCGCCUUCGCCUUCUUCCCGCUGGUGCAGGAGAUCGCCGGGCUUCGCCGGAAGAAGCCCGUCAAGCCCAAGCCCAAGGAUUGCGGCCGCUUCGUCAGGUUCUACCAGUCCCUGGAGACUGGACGAGAGGUGAAAGCUCCAUUGCCACAAGUCUCCUCCUUUCUUUUUUCUUUCUUCAGCUGGAUGUAUUCAGGAGAACAGCAGUGGUGAAGCAACAACCUCGAGAAAUUCAGAAAUCAACCAACACAUUGAGUAUGACUUGGUGUUCGCUAGGCAGCUGCAAGCAAUGGAUAAUCUGACAAUUGAGACACCUGCAGAUGAAGAUGAUGGUAUGCAUUGAUUCUCGUUCAAUUUUGUGAGCACUUGAUGUGCGUAGUGAUUUUUUCUGUCGUGGUAAUCUUAAUAUUUUUCACCUCUGAAUUUUUUUUUCUGUGUUGGUGAUGAUUCAGAUAUAAGCUGCGUACCCUCUCCAUCUGACUCUGAAACUGAUGAACCAGCAGAAGGCAACAACGAAGAGGUGAUUAUAUGAGCUGUUUCAGAAUUGUAAUUAUUCAACAUUGUUCGUUUCAAACUUCUUGAUGCAAAGAUACACAAUUCUCUUGCGUAUUCACUAAAAAGAAGAUGCAGAAGAUAAUCCAAGCAUGUAACUGAUGACACUCUGAUCAAAAUCUUCAUCACGGCAUGUAACUGAUGAUUUCCUCCUCUUUUUUCCCCCCAAAACUGCAGCUGUCCUAUAUGUAUAUCCGCUUUCAUAUGCAUACUGCCAUCAGAGAUGCACACAAAGCUUGUAAAGUUGCUGCUGCCAUCCCAGCUAUUCUUUCUUGUAAAUUGAGAUAGCUAGUCUGUAAACAGAGUAUUCAGACUUUAGAUACUCCUUUCUGUAUCUGCCAGCUGAAACAAAAACUAUGUCCUUUCUGUAUCAGUUUGAGGGAAUACAAUACGUUGAUCUGUUUUUUUUUAGAAAAUGUUCUGAAUAGCAAUGAGAUUUUCAAGGUGGCAAUCACCGGACAAAUGCGCUGUUCAUCAGCAAUGUUACAGGAAUACCAGCCUGCACACACAGUGCUAGUUUCAAGAGUUUGCAGCAGCUAGCAGCAGCACCACCACAAGCACUAGCAAACACCAGCAAGGGAUUAGCCUCUUUUACUCCAUUCCUAAAUAUGAAGUAUACUCACAAAUACACCAGCAAGGGAGUACAUGCUAGUGCUUAUCAUAAAACAUCUGAAUUAACCUUAUUAGAAAUGAGGAACUGCCAUUCCUCAAAAUUUAAUUAUGAAAUACUCCUCGAAUAAAAACCUGUUAGAAGUGAACCAAAAUCAAACCAGGGAGUACUUGCAUUACACACAAGGUGUGACUUCAAUUUUAUAACCAGUAACUUAAACACUUCGAUCUACAUGUCACUGGGAAUAAACAAAAAACUGAAACAAGUGCUUCUCUGAACUUAUGAACAGUUAGACAUUCAGACAUUCAGAAUAUUCAGAUAUCACAACAAUGACAAUUAUUGCAGAUCAUAUUUCUAGCAAGAGCAACAUUGUAGAUUGUCAAAAAAUCUAGCAAGGCUGCCAAAAAGUCUCCAGGUCAAAAAAUCUAGCAGAUUGCCAACAUCAACAACUAGAUACACCAAUCAGCCACAUCAGCUACAACAGCAACAUCAACCUCAGAUCAACACCACCAGCAGCAAUUUCAGGUAUCUGCCAUUGUCCUGAAAGGGAGUAAUAUAAAUGCCAUUGUACAUGAUGAUCAGAUUCCAAACUCAGUAAUGGGUAUUACCUCAGAGAAAGUCUAGCACCAUGUACUAAUUCAUAUCAGGUAUCUGCCAUGGUCCUGAAAAGGAGUAAAAUGAAUGCCACUAAUUAGCACACAUCAAACAAGUUAGGCUAUGAGUAUUUGACUUGAAAGCACAUGAAGCGAUUUUCAUGAAAAUAAAAUAUAUAUAACCAAAAUAGUUUACCUGAGAUAAUUGUUAGCAUCAUUUAUUGACUUUUCAUCGCACCUUAGUUGCAAAGGAAGGCGACCUUGCCUUUCAAGCACUCCUUUUUUGAUGUGUGGAAGAUCAUAGGAGUUGUCACUGAGUACUUCUAUGACUUCCCUCAUGCAUGCAUGAAGAGACAAGAAAUCAUGUUUGAUAGCCUCACUGGAUAAUCUUCAAAUGCUCGAUCGAUGGCGGCUACAAGUUCUUCUGUUGUUGUUGAGGCUGAUUUGUACUGGAUGGACUGAAUGGAGUUGAAGAAACCCAGAUCCAAGACAUUCAAAUCUGGGGAAUUUGCCGGCUGGCAAACAAGUUUGAUGUUAAAGCCGUCUUGCUUCGCAGCCUCACAAAACAUUCUGUCGUCCGGUGCAAUAUGAGGCCGAGCAUUAUCCUGCUGGAUGUAUAUAGGUUUGCCGGCGUCUUCACGAGGCCACUUAGCCCGAACAGCUGGCAAUACCUUUUCUAUCUUGAAGCUUCGGAUUACCUCCUUUGUGAUUGACUCAAUGGGCUUCAUCUCGAUUGUCCCUGCAGGAUGGUUCACACUUGACCUCUUCGCAGCUGUGUAUGUCACAAAAGGGAAACAUCCUAUUUUUCCAUCAAAGAUGCAGUUUCCAUUUGAGUCAAACCUUGGUCUGGCGAGAGCUGUUAAGAUCAUUAUUUUCGGGAUGAAGUUUUUGUUCUGAAUUAUCCUGAUGCGUCGCGAGGCAGUUGGAGCUGCGUAAUAUUGCACCGUCUUCCUUGUAAUGUUGAACCACUUCUCAUAUAUGAAAAUGUAAUCAAAUAGUGGUUUGAAGACAGGAUUGUGAGGCACACUCCUUGGGUCAAGCAUUUCAAUACACCACUUUAGCCGGUCAAUUUUGUUUUGAUCUGUCAAGUGGGGAUCAAAUGAGCUAGAUACAUGAUUUAUAGCACCUUAUUUUUUCAUUCUGUAGACCUUGCUUGUGCUAACACCAAAUUGAGUAGCUACAUCCUGUAUUGUGGUACGGCUCAAUAUUGAAAUAUCUUCGAGACGGGACACAUCCACCACCUUCUUCUUUCUGCCACACCUAGAUCUUCCACUCGCAACGUCAACUGGAAUACCUUGAUCCAAAUAGCUUUUGCCUUUUUUCCAUAUACGUUGUACUGUCCUGAUAGGCACCGAGAAUUCAGCUGAAACCUCCUUUCUCUCAUGGCCCUUCAAAUAUCCUUUUUUUUGCCUUUACAAGCAUAGCAUCAAAGAUUGCUCUCCGUUUCUCAUUAUCAGGCACGACAUUCCUGUGUGUAUUCUCCUGAGGAACUGGGAUAGCAUCAUCAACCAUCAGAAUCGAAGAAAGGAUCAAACUGAGGCUGUACAUUCUCCUAGCCAGGGUCAACACCUAUCUCCUCUAGAGUGACUGGGACUUCAGCAACAUUUGAAUCAAAAAAAGGAUCAAACCAAGGUUGUACAUUCUCUUGGCCGGGCAAGGGGACUUCCUCUUCUUGCCUCUUUGCUCUCCUCGAAUAUUAGACCCGCCUUGUGCAACCCUGCAGGAGCAUCAUUAAUUUUCAGUAACUUCUAACAUACAUAGUGGAAAAAACCGGAGCAUCAUUAAUUUUCAGUAACUUCUAACAUACAUAGUGGAAAAAACCGAACCGGACCGGUGGUUCGACGGGAAAAAACCAGAACCAGAGGUCUCCACGAUUCGGUUCAACUGAAAGACCGGACAUGCCCUCGACUCGGAUUGAACCGGCUGAACCAGGCGGGUUUAGACUAAACCGGCCAUUAAACCGGCUCGGUUGGACCGGACCAAGCAAAUAAAUGGGCCAACAUUAAGGCCCAGCACAUUGCCUUCAGGCCCACGCAUGUUUUGUGGGCUUUUUUUAAGAUAAAAUGUAUAGAAAAAGGGUGUGGGAUGGAGAUUCGAACCUAGGUCUGCGCAUUGAGAGCGUGUUGCGCUAGCCAUCCCAACCUUUGCUUUGUUAUGUUUUAGAGAAAAUACAUGUUGGAUAUAUUUCUAUUGAACCGUGGUUCAACUGGCGGUCCACCGAUCAGACCGUCGGACCGGUGAACCGAGGGGUCAUCCGGGUCACUCACCGGUCCCGUUUCUUGCACUAUGCUAACAUGUCUAUAUAAGAAAUGCAAGGAGUAAAUGGAAUGCAUUUUUUUAUUGCUGGAAAUGACACAAUCAACUCCAACAGCAUUGAACAAGUAGAUUCUCUGAACUGAAAAUAAUAGAGGAGAAAAAGCUAAAUGCUAAAUGCUCAAUUAUCAGCUGUGCAUUCUCUAGUAUUUGCCAUCAGCUCAAUUAUCAGCAAUGAGCCCACAUGAGCUUUCAUUGAGCUUGCUUCAAUCAUGUGAAUUUUGACAUUAAAGAAAACAAAACUGGGAGAAACUAUUUUGCAUGGACACGAGUGUUACAGCAUUUAUGCUUUCAUAAAAAAAGAAGUUGCUUUUAGGUUGGAAAAUGAAGACAAUAUGUGAUUAAGUUGCUCGGAAUGCAGAGUAAAUCUGAAGUCUAAACUCUGAAAUUUGAAUUGUUGUACUUUCUGUUCUCAAAAUUACUGGCAGCUAUUCUCAAAAAAAAAAAAUACUGACAGCUAAAAUUCUGUUCCCACUCUGAAAAUGCUGACACAGAAGGCAUAGUAUCAAGUAUGCAAGCAAUUAUUUAGAGAAGAGAAUGAUCAAAAGUUGAAGUGCUCUUGCUAAUUUCAGUUUCCUAUUUGCAUCAAUUUCUGGUUAAUACCUAGAACAAUUUCCUGUAGGCAAUUUCAGUACCAUAACAUAAGUUCAUAGUAAACUGAAGUUAAAAGCAAAUAAUCAUAGUUUAAGGACAUAAAUCUGGUAACAAUUAGUCUAUCAAAUCCCUUCUCAUAGCAAAACUGCAUCUGUAUUGCCUACAGUUCAGACUGGAUACUGUUUUGCUGCCAAUUCAAAGCACUCACAUGUCCCCCCAAAAAAAAUCACAAACUUAAAACAUAGAUUUUGACACAUAACUAGAGCAAUUCCAUUUGAAGGAAGGCGAUGUUUAGUUGCAAAAACUUCCAACUUUUCCAUCACAUCGUUCCAAUUUCAACCAAACUUCUUGGCGUGAACUAAACACACCCGAAAUGAAGAACAGAAAUACAAAACUAGAAGCAAACAAUAUUCUUAAAUAGCCAAACUGAACAUAAUGGCCUAAUUAUUCAAGGGCCUAAUUAUUCAAGGGCAAGCAACCUUGGGGAGAGAGUAGCCGAAGACGAAGCCACGCCGGCUCGCGCGGCCAUGGCGGCCAGACGAUGGAGGCGGUCCUGUACACGGCUGUGGCUACGACUGCCAUCGCUAGCUUGCUGCGUGUCUGCCUCUGCCACCUGAGGAUGAGGCUGUUGGGGGAACGGCACUGUGACAUCGGCCAAUGAUCCACCGCCGUCCUGCGCCGUCUUCUUCCAUGGCGUGAGAAAUUUCCGCCACCUACCCACCCCGCCAUCCAUGGUCGCAGCUUGUCGUGGCAGUGGGCUUAGGCAACGACUUCAGGAGCGGGAGCAGUGGCGCAGGAGAAUGAACUCUCCCACCCGGGGAAUCUCUGCAUCUUGGACCAGAUGUUGAUGACCCUCAGCCCGCAAAUCAUUACUCCAACUAACACCCUUUUGGCUGCAAAGUGAUUAUUCAAGCGUCAUCAGCCAUGUAGUCUAGCUCAACAAAAUGGAAAGAGAUUGAGAGAGAUUGAGCAGAUGUUUUAGAUCCAACAUACUCCUACGGUAGAUGCUUGGUGGCUAACUUCACCACAAAUUUGAAAAAAUAUAUUCAUGUACAGGUUCAUAAUGGCUACACCUACGGUACGCUACAACAUGGUAAAAAAGGAACGAUUUUGGUCAAGAAAACGUAAGGACCUAGUUGGGCACAUACUGAAUCAUCAAUCUGUUAUCAAGAACAAGCAGGGCGAGCUUGCCUUGUUCUGCAGAACCUCAGCUUCCCAGACGAUGAACUUGGCGAGGGACCGCCACCUCGACGCAGGCGCCGGCGUACACGCCGGCAGACUCGUUCGUCUUCUCCGGCAAGCCGGAGCAGUCGCCACCGUACUGGUAACUGCACGCGCGAGGCUGUUGGGAUACUCGUAGGCUACGAUAGCAUAAAUCAAAAUUUUCUAUCACGUAAAUCAGGAACCAUGCAAGUAUUAGAUCAUAGAUCGUUAUCACUCGACGCGCUGCGCAGCGGAAGAAGACGUUGAGAAGUUGAAGGAACUCUCGUGAAGUAGCGCGCGUCGAUGUAGAGGAAGUAGUCGAUCGCACCGGCUCGACCUUCUCCUCCUCGUGCGUUCUCCUCGUCGUACUCCCCAGGGCGGAGCUAGAACAGAACCGAGGGGGUACACCACUAUACAAAACUAUAACAUGUAGGGACACAUUUGACUCAUUAAUGUUAUUUUACCGUAUAUAGGUGGAAUUACUUCACCUAAAUACCUAAGAGCACCCGCAAUGGUAAAGUAAGGUGCUAUCUAUAAAACAUAUACAUCUCAGCAAUAGACUCGAUUAAUAGUAAACCACCUUAAUAGUAUGUCUACAUUGGUAUCUAUAACUCUGUCAUGCAUUGCCUCGUUUUUCUCUAUAAACUAUUUGUAAGUUAGUAGAUAGUUUUGCUCUCUCUCUUCAUUUAAUACCUUCCAAGUAGGAAAAUAUGCUGACAUGGAUAUCUUGUAGAGAGCCUAUAGAUAAUUAUUGUGUGUGCCCUAAUGGUAUUUUUAACGUAUAUAGCUAAACAUUACUCUAAUUAAUGGUAUUUUUAGCAUAGCAGCACAUUGCUCUAAUUAAUGGUAUUCUUACACAGCUUUUGACAAAAAAUAAUUAAUAUUUGAGAAGAGAGCACAAAAUUCUUAUAAAAAAUCAAGAGCAAGGGCCGUGAAGGAAAACAACAAGAAUACUUACUAUUUUGCUACGGCAGGCUGGUUCGUAAUCUUACUCCAAUUAUAAAAAAUUCCUAAUUUUGAUGUUGAAUUGGCCGAACCCUAACCUAUAAUCAGGAUAAACUAAAAGCACAAUCAGCAAUCACACUAUCUUUUUUAUUUUAGAAAUUAGUUUGGAACAAAUCUGGAAAACUGGAUUAGAAGAAGAGUAGAAAGGCCGAUACUUACUUUUCCUCGUUAACCGGAGACCGUGGCCUUGGAUCAACACCAGAUCGUGUUACUCUAGCCAUAAGAGGGCAGCAAUGGAUGAUGAUUAGAGCUGUUGAUGUCAAGGCUGUGACGGCGAGCGGCAAGCAGCGAGUCAGCGGUCAGGAGGCGACUGACGCGAGCGAUUCCAGCGGCAGCAGCUGAAGCGGAAAAAGGAAAAGAAGAAAGAAAUAAAGGAGAGAUGGGCGAGUGUGGGCCGCGUAGCAAUAAUCGCGCAGGGAUGGAGGAAUCGAGGCGUCCCACCGCUGCGGACGAGGCAAUGACUACGCGCUUUGACGCUCGAGAGCAACGAUCUGCGCCGGCAUGCACGCGCCUUAACCCACGCUGGGCUUUUUUUUUCUAGUAGGGGGUACACUGACUUGGGCCAUGGGGGGUUCCUAUACAGUGAAAACAUGGGGUUAAGCAGUAAAAAUGCAAAUUGGGCCGGGUGCCUCGGAACCCCCUUAGUCCAUUGGGCUCCGUCCCUGGUACUCCCACGCCGAUCAGCACCGCAAACCAGCGGCGCCUCUACCGGUAUCCACACGUAUAGGGACGGAACGCCACGCACAGAUGUGCUAGCACCCACGCGCGGCUAGGUUUUGCUCGGGGAGGGAAGUGACGGCUAGGGUUUCUCACGUGAUGCAAUGCCUCCGCCGGUCACACCCCUCACGAAUAUAUAGGAUCCAUUACUCGGGCCUCCAAGGCCCGUAGGACUCCUAUUCGGAUCCCUAUCCGAAUUAAGCCCAUAUUGGAUCUCCAUCCAAUCCCCUUAUUUCGGCCCAUUAAGCGUGCGACCAUGUAGGUUCAUAUAUAUACUCGGCUGUAACCCGAAAACUCCUUUUCGGUCCACGCGUCAACAGCGGCCCCUGGCAGAACGUAUUGACCCACUGGGCAGACAUAAAGAUCAUAUCGGCUGAACCUCUAGUGUAUACUUGUAUGAACCCCUUUGCCUCACGAUAUCGAUUAAGCUCAAGGUUAGAUAUGUACCAUCCUUUAAUAGCUCAAUCAUUCACUCGAACCUGUCGAUAGAUUAUAUAACUUGUGAUUGACUCCUCAAUCACCUUUGGCAUGGCCAUGCACUUCCAUAAUCUACAACAUCGAGGGGCCUAGAGAUAUCUCUCCAUAGGAGGGGCAAAUCCCAUCUUGAUUAUUUAUAUCCCACUACAUGUUUCAUAGCAUACCCGAAAACUACUUUUAUAACUACCCAAUCACGGAGUAGCGUUUAGCAGUCUCUAAGUAAGCUACUACACAUGUUGGGAACCAUGAUAAUCUCAGGUCUAAGGAUUCAACACCAACACUAAAUGAGAUCACUGAUGACACAACGCAUAUGGCUCUUGCAGUGUCUCAUGUUGGGUCUAUCCAACAACAUGUUCACCAACAUGUGUCCACAUUAUUAAUUUGGUAUCUCUAUACCAUGAUCCAUGAAACAUAAUCAUCAAUUAAUACAUGUGCUGAUCAUCUAAACAUAUUUGUUCCACAUAUGAUAUUUGAUCAGGGAUCCUUUAGAAAUAGCAACACACAACAUAAAGAGUCUCAUGAAAGAAUCACAUAUUCAUUAACCAAUAAUGAGUUUAUCUAUUUCGAGGAACAAAGUCGGAUAAAUAUGUAAACAUAGUGUGUGAUACAAUCAUCUCUAUGAUUGCCUCUAGGGCAUAUCACUAACAGAGGCGGCGGCGGCGGCGCGCCAUUGGUGAUCAAUUCUUACAUUGUGUUCAACGAUUGAGAAAGCCAAUCAAAUUAAUGCAAGAUGAGUAGUUCCAUGUUUUACCGAACACGGGCAACGUCGUGGACGGGCGGCAGGGUGAUGAGGAUGAUGAUGACGGAGGGCCAGGUGGCGGUGAGGAGGCCGCAGAUGGCGCGGAGGUUGUCCUUGUACUCCGGGAGCAGGACGUGCUGGAGUGUGCUGGCGCGUUCGGGGAGGGAGGCGUCGUUGGCGCUGUCGUGCUGGAGUGGUCGGCCGCCGGGGACGAGGUGCAGGGGAGGCCGGCGAUGGGGAUCCGUCAAGGGAGAAGAUUGGGAAGGGGAAGCCAUGGCAGGGGAGGUGGGGAAGAGUGCCGCCGUCCCCGCCGUUGGCCCUGCCGCGGCGCUCGGGAUCGAGAUGGAGCGCCGCCGCCGUCAUGCGUAGAAGGGGAACGAAUCGGGGAAGAGGAAGGGCAAAAUGGCAAAUUCACGUGAACCUUAAUUUCGCCGAUGCUGUCGGAAACGACAAAUAAAACGAAACGGAGGGAAUAAAGACAAUCGGCUAAUAAUGAUGUAAUAAAAUAUAUAACAAUAUAAUCCAGUAGAAACCAAUCGGCUAGCAAUAAUAUGAUAGAAUAAGCACUGAUCCGAAGGUUAAAACAUACAUCGGCUGGAGGUCCGAUGUCAUAAAAUUCACAAUAUUAGAUUAAACAGUGAAACCUCUGUCGAUAUCGGCUAAAUCCAAUCUAUAUGCAAUCUUUGUAAGCCGAUGCAACGUCCAGAUAACUCAUCGGCUGAAACCCCGAUGAAACCCUUAUUGUAAUAAAAAACAGACUAGAGAUUAUGACUCUUAAGCACGACUAAAGUCGAUGCAACUUAGAGUAUGCAAAGAAACAUAAUAUCUAGACAAUCAAGCCUUUGACUAAUUUUUAGGGUGGUGGAUACCUUAGCUAAUCUAAUAUAGUAAAGCGAUUUAGCCGGUACCGGCAUUAACCCUAAAGGGAAUAACAGCCGAUACAAGUAAAUCAAGAUACUAAGACUAGAUUAACUAAGAAAUAUGAUAGAUUAGACGCUUACACUAACAAGAUCAGAGUGUCGAAGCCCUAGCCCCGCUGAUGCAAGGCGCCAUGAUAGGAAUAAACUCGUCGAAAAAGAAGAAAAGGUAAAAGGUGGCGAUGUGCCGAAUUGUAUUGAUCGUGGAGAUAGUUUACAAUAACCCCGGGUGUACAUAUUUAUACCCAUGGGUAAAUACUAGUCUUUGUAGGAUAAGAAAGAAACUUUCCUAAAGGAUAAAAGGAAAACAUAAAGUCCUUAUAUGACACUAAACACACUUUCCUACUAACAAACUAUUCCUAAUUAAUAGAUAACUUGCCACACCGUAUUUUCCUUGAACUCGGUCUCUUCUGGAUAAGCUUCCUUGAAUAGAUUAAUUUCCUUAACCGAAUAUAGCAGGAAUCCGACUACUGGUGACUUGACGACUCCCAUCGGCCGAUCCUAAAACUCUUAGGCCGAUAUUGAUUUUAAGCCAAUGAUGAUCUCGAGGCUUACCAAAUUUCGCUGUUAACACCUUUACACUCGAGGGGGAGAGAAAAUAAAGUUACACAUCUCUCCUAUUUAUGAGCAUUUUGGUGUGAAUUAUUGUUUCUUUUAUAUUAGAGAUUUGUUAACACAAGAUCUUAUAAGUGUAAAAAAAAUAUAAAAAAAAGGUUGUCCCUCCACAGAGAGAAAUACGAUUGGAGGUGAGGCGAGGUGUGGGGGAGGAGGUGGCGCCAACCAUGUUGGCGCCCUCCUCCUGCCACGUCGGUUCGUGUGUGCCACGGUGGCAAGGGCGCGGCACCAGAGAGACUAGUGCCAUCCCGUUGGACGACGACGCCAGUGACUCUAGCGCCUAAAAAGGACUAUUUUUGGGAUACAUUUUUUCAGGGAACUAUUUAUGAAAUAAGUUUUUAAAAAUAAACAAAUUGUAAAAAAUCCAAGAAACCCCGCCAUUUCUGGGACCAUGGGACCCCCUAAUCCCCCACUGAAUAUUUCUUCCAUGGAUACACUGGAUAUGGAUGGGGUCUGAGAUCGGCUGGAGAUGGAAUAAGUGACCCUCAAAGUGAUCGAAAUCUAAUCCGUGACCCUAAACCACAAAACCGGAUAUCUCAACCCCCAAACUCUUAAAACCGGUGCAAUUUGACUCCCUCGGCGGUUUUGGAGGGCGGUUUCGCUGACGUGGCGCCUACGUGGCGAUAUUAACCAAGUCUUCCUUACAUGUGGCACUUACGUGGCAUUAGAAUUGAAAAAUAUGUGUGGGACCCAUUAGUCAUUCACAUAAAAAGAAAUAUGGGGCCCACGUGUCAGUCCUCCUUCCUUCUUCCUCCCUCUCUCCUCUCUCUCUCUCCCCUUCUUCCCUUCGGCCGGUGGCGCGCGGCGGAAGCGAGCGGCGGGCGGCGAGAGCGGGCGGCGGCGGCGCGCAAGUGAGGCCCAGAGCGGUAUGGCGGGGAGUCGGCGCAGUCCGACGCGGCGGCGGCGGCGAAGCCUUCGGGCCCCUCCAAGCCCGUGCCGUCGUACGGGAAGCGUGGCGGGUUCGUGCCGCGGUGGCCGGAGGACUUCGGUGACGGCAGGGCCUUUCCGGAGAUCCACGUCGCGCAGUGCCCGCUCGGCAUGGGCCGACGCGACGAGAAGAGCGGCUCGAAGAUCCUCGCACUCACCGUCAACGCCAAGGGCAGCGUCGCCUUCGACGCCGUCGUGAAGCAGGGUGAGAACGCUCCCGGAGCCCGGAGCUUGGCGCACUUGACGACGACGAAGAUGCCGUCGGGGAGGACGCCCCUGUAGACGGCGCCGAAGUCGCCCUGGCCGAUCUUGAGCGCCGGCGAGAAGUUGUUGGUGGUGUGCAGGAUCUCCUCCAUGGAGAACACCGAGCUCUGGAACUGCGUCGCGCUGCCCCUGCCCCUGCUGCUGUUGUACAGCCCGCACAUUGACGCCUUCCCCUGAUCACUGCCAGGCCCCGGCACUGGAAUCAUCAAACAGAUUCAUCCAUCAAUAAUUAAUUCCCAACUGCUUAGUUGUUGUUCUGAAUUUUGAGAAAAAAAAUUGAACCCUUUUGUGAUUAAGAUUUUAGAAAAUGAUUCUUUAAGCUCCGCACUAGCAAUUCUGCCCCCAGAAAGUAAAGAAUUCAGAGUAGUUGCGGCAAUUGGAUUAUGAUAAUUGACUGCUUCCAAUUCAGAGACAGAGUAGUUGCAGCAACUGGACUGUGAUAAUUGACUGAUUUCUUGAACAGUUCAGAAACAGUUGCAGCAAUUGGACAAAUAAUUCAGAUUAUAUCCUGUUUGCUUGAGCAAUUCAAAUCUAGGUAAUUAAGGACAAGGAUGAAAUAGCUGGAGAAGAAAUGACCGAGGCGAUGGAUCGAGAGAACAAUUUACAUGGCGGCUUCUUGAUCAACUCAUUGGGUUCUUUCCUGCUCCUCCUCUUAGCGUUGCUGCCGGAGGCGGAGGUGGCCGACGACGACGACGACGAGGAGGAGGUCGAGAGCGAGCUGAACCACAACCCGAUCCACGUCGCGCAGUACGCGCCCGGCAUGGGCCGGCAAGACGAGAAGGGCGGCUCGAAGAUCCUCGCGCUCACCGUCGACACCAAGGGAAGCGUCGCCUUCGACGCCGUCGUGAAGCAGGAUGAGAAUGCCCCCGGAGCUCUCGCUCGGCCUCCUUGCGCUCCGCCGUGGCGUGCCGCUCCCCGAGACGGUGGCGUUCUUCCACCACGUCCUCCCGUUGCUCCCCUCACCUGCGCCCCGCCGCCACCCGCUCGCCCGUCCAGCCAUCGCCGCUCCGGGCCUAACUUGCGCGCCGCCGCCGCCUGCCGCCGGCCGAAGCUAGGCCGAAGGGAAGAAGGGGGGAGAAAGAGAGAUGGGAGAGAGGGAGGAGGGCCCCAUAUGUCGGUGGCCCCACAUUUUUUUUGAAUGACUAAUGGGUCCCACAUAUAUUUUUCAAUUGUAAUGCCACGUAGGUGCCACGUUAACGCCACGUGUAAUGAAGACUCGGUCAAUAUCGCCACGUAGGCGGCCACGUCCGUGAAACCGCCCUCCAAAACUACCGAGGGAGUUAAAUUGUACCAGUUUUAAGAGUUUGGGGGUCGAGAUAUCCGGUUUCGUGGUUUAGGGUUACGGAUUAAAUUUAGAUCGGUUUUGAGGGUCACGAAGUGAACUUAUUCCGCUGGAGAUUGAAGACCAAGUUUUCACGACUUGGGCCGACUAUGAAGAGAAGCCCACGAGUUCAAUCUUCCAAAUUUGGCCUGGCCCACUUCCCCAACCUGCAGCUCAAGCCGGCCCACAGCCCACUCGGCCAAUUCCCCAAUUCUCCACCAUUCCCUCUCCAUGUCCCUGAAAUCCCUAACCCUAGGCGUUCGACCGGCCGUGGACGCGGGGCCGACGGCCGACGGGAGGCGGCCGUGGACCGCCAAGGACGCAAGGUGGCGAGGCGGCCAACGCCCGGCGGCGACACCGGCUGACGAGGGCAGGAGCCAGGAGGCGGCGUGGCCCGUGGCCCCGUGGGCGUGCGGCGAGCGGCAAGCAGGCGGGACUCGGGAGUCGGCGGCGGCCGGCGAGCCACGAGCGGGCGAGGGCCCCGGAGGGUGGGAAGGGAGGCGGUCAGGCGGCGGUCGAGCGCCGGCGCGCCGCCGGGGAGGUGGCGAGACGCGAGCCGUGCCAGGGCGCCAGGCGGCGGUCCAGCGCUGCCGCGCCG
RNAcentral lists this long non-coding RNA (47698 nucleotides) under Oryza sativa (Asian cultivated rice). RNAcentral describes it as "long non-coding RNA (OSAT_LNC001828)". The record is from RNAcentral. Lineage: Eukaryota; Viridiplantae; Streptophyta; Magnoliopsida; Poales; Poaceae.